AAAAUUCUCACCUGGAAAUGAUCUCCACCCUUUAUUCAUUGACGUGGCGCAGCAUCCAUGGUGGCAUGAGGGUAUUGGGACUAGGUCGAGCUUCAGCUCCGUCUUCCUCUACAGCUCUCCCCACAAAACUACCACUGCAUCAUUUACCUCCAUAUUUAUUAUGUGCCCAACCCAAAUGAUCUACAGCCUCUGCAGCUUUCUACUCUCAACGUAAUGUGCAAAACUCCAACAAAAAGACUUAUUUUUAAUUUGUUUUCAUUCAUUUCUUUGUUUAUUAAUUAUAGAGGAGAAUGUGUUCCUAAUUUACCAUGUGAAAGGAUGUGUUGGCUUCCACUUCUCCCCUCUUACUAUCUAUGUCAGCCUUCAGUCUAAUCCAGCCUUAACUGGCUUCUCUACACUAUGUUUAUUGGCUUUUCCACAUGAGAAAGAGAAAGAGAGAGAAAGAAGAUAUACCCAAUGGUGAGUGAAGGGAGCUGUAGUGGGGGUGGUGGCACCACAUAGGCAGAUGAGUUUUGGCCUAUGUUGUUUUGCUGCUCCCAUUGUGCACGAUUAUUCUGUUCGACCUUCUCCUUCUCCUUCACCUAUUUUCACGUCACAACAUUUUAUAACCUUGGAUGUUAUUAAUAAUCUAACUAGUACUUCUUGUGAGUAAUUUUGAAAAACCAUGAGCAGUAUCCAUAAUAAUAUAUAGUCAUAAACAGCCUUUUACCUUCUUUGCUAAUGCGUUGUUUUGCUCCACCAGUGAUUUCUCCUGCGACAUUCUACAGUGUGAGAUCACAUGCACAACAGUCUUCUAUGGGACUGGAUAGAAAGUUACGUUUUCUUUUGUUACAGGAACAGAAAAUUAAGGUGAUGUUUGAUUUCAGAAAAUUUGGGAAAAAAAUGAAGUGAAAGAAAAUGAAGAGGAAAAAUGGAAAAAAAGAAAAUAUGAAAAAAAAUAAAAUAAAUUUAAAGUCAAUAAAUUAUAUAUAUUUCUUUUAAAUAUAAAGAUUAAAUAAUUUAAAAAUUUAUAAACUUUUAAGUCAUUUUAAUUACAUUUAAUUUUCUUUUAUAUUUCUGAUGGAGAAAGUUAUUUUCCUUUAACAUAUUCUUUCUUGUUAACAGUUUCCGAAAACCAAGCGUAAUGGAAACGGAGCUUUUCGCCUCAGCCUUGGGGAGGUAAGAAUUUCCAUCACAAGAACUAGAGAUUAGAUGAAUUAUCCUUCCCUACAUCAUCCCCUAGCUGCUAUUACCAUUUCUAUGAACAUUGAAAUAAUGCGUGAAUGAAAAUAGACCCAGAAAAAUAAGUGCCAAUUUUUUUGCUAGGCAUAGAGGGUAGGAUUAAGGCAUUCUGGUGACUCAACCCUAGGGCCUAGGUUAUGCCCAUAUUUUUAACCCUAUCUAGUGGCUUUCUCAACAUUCUUGAAGGGUUAAGGGAAAUACAAGGUUAAAUUAUGGUAAUUAGGGAGUACUUCCACCUACCAUUAACUCUCAGGUUAAACCUAGCUAGAAGUCAAUCUUCAUCAAAUUUAAUGUAGGGCAACGUAAAUUUUAUUUAAGGAUCCCAAAAACACCUGCAUGCAUGCAGAUCUUAAUUACCUUCUUCUGAAGCUCCGAAAUCGAUUCAUGCAUAAGCUGGUUCUGCAAAUGGGAAAAUAGGUAUAAGUUAACAAUUGCCAUCCAAUAAAACAUUGACAAAAAAACAAGUUCAUGUCUACCUUUCUUGUUCUGAUGCGCUUAAGAGCUGUAUCAAGCUGUUGCUCCAAAUUUUGUAGCUCUCUCAGACUUAAGGGAUCCAGAUCUUCUCCCACAAAGUGCCUAAAAAUAUAUAUAUAUAUAUAUUGAUGUCAAAAUUUCCAUAUCUGCCUUCCACUAAUUUAUUCUUUAAGGGGAACAGCUUUGCUCUUAUCAUUUAGGCAUGCACCACAUGGGACCUCACAUUUGACGGAUUCCUUCGGACAAAUUGUUGUGCAAAAAAUUAGCAGAACUUAAUGAGUUUUGAUUAUUUUGUUUCCAUGUUUUCUCAAACAUUGUUCAAAGUGGUCGCACUAUUCAAAGAAAUCGACUUUUUGAGCAAAACAAAUGGCUAAAAAUCAACACAAGAAUGCUAUUUUUUUGCACAUGGCUCAUGACCCAAUUCUUAAAACAAAGCGUCCAUGUGGCCAAAAGGUUUCAUCACUAAGCUAAUUAAGCUGUGUUCUGACUUCUGUAAACUAGCAAUUGAUGAUCAGAUUAGUACCUCAGGUUCCUUUGUAAAACUUCAAUCCUAGCAGUGAGUUUAGGGUAAUCCAUCGACCAGUUUCCCUGUGCAGGAUCCAGAAAAGAAAACGGGUUACCGAGUUGAUGAUAUCCGUUUUUCUUUUUAGGUAGCUGCUAAUGAUAAACACUGGAUGGAAAUAUUGAACCUGAAGUGAAGACAGUUAUAUAUUUCCCAGCAUAAAGAGAAAAUGAGAAGAACAACUAACCAUGCAAACUUACAUGCAUGGUUUAAGAUAGGUAUACUGUGUGGAGUGUCUAUAUAUAUAGGUAAAUACUAUUCAGCAGAAUUUUCAAUAUGAAGAAUUGAAACUAUACUAAAACCCUGAUCAACAAGGACUUGACUUUGGACUUGAACUCCUAUGCAUAGAACCCUAUUCACUAUCAUUCAGACCCACAAAACCUAAAACACAGAUUUCACUAGAGGUAAAGAAAAAACCAUAGUUAGGCACUAGGAGAGGCAAUGAAUACAGUUCAACCCUGCUGACCAUUUGCUAUAUCUAGAAUACAAAGUACCUUCUUUUACAUUUUAAUACUUUCUUCUAGCUGGGUUGGCUGUAAGUCAAGUACCUGUGGGUCAGGAUCUGUUGAGAGAAGCUGUCUCUCCGAAAGUGAAUAUCUUUCAUAUCGUUCAAGGAUCCUUUCCAUGCUGUUGAAAAAGCAAAAGUUGAUUUUAAGCAUCAGUGAGGUCUCACAUGCAUGAAUUAAGAAUUUGUAAAAGAAACUAAUAUGAAUAGAGGUCAACACAUCACUCCCAGUCCCAACUCAAGAAAGCAAAGGAAACCUGUAAAAUAAAUAUGCAGUUUUCUCAUAUAUACUGAAUAUCAGCCGAAAAAAAAAAAAAAAAAAAAACCAUCAUUAUAAACAUGGCUAUAUCAAGUGGGCAUAUGUUUAUCAAAAUGUCAUCCUAAAAAAUUGAGAGCCCUACAUAAAGUGGGUAACAGAUGUAGAACUAGAGAUGGGUUGCUCCAGUGGAGUUAUUUAAGACAUUGGUACAUUAUUAGCCAAAGAGUUGGGAAUUGAUCCGACACUUUGCCAACUCCUAUCACAUAUUCACAGGCCAUCAGAUCUUAGUUGUUGUACACAGAAAUUUUGUGCUCUCCGAAAUCAAAGAAAAUAUAACCGAUAAAUUUAUAUUAAUAAAGAUGCAAAUACAAUGUUAUGUUGUAUUCUUUAAACUAAAGAAUAUGUAAUCUUUUGAUUUAACCAACUCAUCAACUCAUUUUGAUUAAAGGGUGCAACCACAUGUUCUUGAGUCGAAGUGCAGUCGAAGGCCAAUUAGACUUGAUCUUAACUUUGUUGUAAAUUUGGUCAUGAGGAAUACUAGAUUGUUUGUGCUUUGAUUUUUUGAUUUCUUCCACAUGAUUAUAAGGCUUGUUGAAGACCAAAUGCAAACAUCGACUUCUUCACUUGUGUUUUCCCCUCUCUAAAACAAAAGAAACCUCCUGUAGUGGGUAAAAACAUUUGUAUAUGAAUUGUUUCUUUGAUAUUUGAGAAUAUUUUAGGGCUUUUUCUAGAUAUUUACACAUUGCCUAAAAGAUGCAUCUUGAUAUGAUUUGAGGAUAUCAAAAUUUUGGUGUUUAUAAAUGCCCCACAUCACAUCACGUCCUAACUUCAACAUGUCCUUAUUGAAGGUGAGAGUCGAUGGUUUUCUAUAGUUUAAAAUGGGUAAGACUUCAUGUCAAAUAAGCAUGGAAAGAAUAAAAAAAAAAAAAAAAAAAAAACUCUCGUUUAAAGGAGAAAUUCUAUUUUAACUGUAACAAUUCUUGUUAUUUUUUAUAACAAAAUUUAACAUCACUCUACUUUCCCAAAAGUCGUGUUGAUCCCUCUACAUUUUUCUUAUAUAUGGAGACCACUUCUAUUUGAUAGUGGUCAUUUUUUUUUCUUCUUUUUGUAGGGAGGUUUUCUCACCCUCUUUAGGCUUAUAUCAGGGAAAAAAAUAUUUAACUUUCUCCUAGCACUUUUUCCGGGUUCUUUUAUUUAUUUAUUCAUUAAUAUUAUUAUUUUGCAAAAAAAAAAAAGAAAAAAAAACUUUAUUACUAUUACUUUUUUUUUUCUAAUUAUUUAUUAUUCAUUAUUAUUAUUACCACUAUUAUUUUGCAAUCAUUCUCUAGAUACCUAUCACAAAGGUAUGAUAUAAUAUUAAUUGAAUAAUAGAACUUGAUAUCCAUCAGACUGAGACUUUAUUGGAAAUUAAUAGUAAAAUGCUAAAACAUAAGGAUUUAGACGCUACCGAUUCAAAGGCUUUGUCAAGAUGAAUGACAAAGUCUUGAUAUUUCUAUUGGAGAUCGGACUUGAUUUUUGUAGGCUCGCAAUUAAGACUUUAUUGGAGAUCAAAUAUCGAAAAUUAUUGUCAAAGCAAACUAAUCAUGAUCCUUGGGGUGGCGUUAAAAUUUUUGCACUUGAUGCAAAUGAAAUCGCAUCAGUGUUAACUUCGCAUCCAACCAAUUGACAUGAUCUUGAUCUGGAUGCAAAGGGCGCCAAAUUUUGACACUUGAUAAAAAUUAGGGAGCUAAAUUUGACACUGAGCUAACUUGUUACAACUCUUUAACCUAGGGUGAUGUUAUGAUCAUGAGAGUAGUGUUAAAGUUUUUGUUAAGAUAUAGCCUUUGAAAGCUUUCAGUUUUACUUUUAUCCAUCCUAUUCAUGCAUUAUAUUUUCUUAGCAUUUAUGCUCAACAUCUCUUAUAUUGUACAUGACUUGGGUGCAUUAUGGGUUAUAUGAAAGAUUCAAGAUACGAGUUCAUUGUAAGUAAAUAAGUUACUCAUAAAUGAUUCAUAGAUUUAGACAAUCUAUUUGAGACUGUAGUGCACUCAUUACCUUAUAAUUAGAAGAAUGACUUAUAUUGGUCAUUGAGAAGUUCUCAUGGUGAGUGCAAUAAUAUGUAUGAUUGAUUACACAUUACACAUCACCUAUAGUGAGUCAUGACAUUGGUUAUUAGGUAGUUUUGACUUUACCAAAUUAUUAUGUUGUUUGAGCUUUCAAACCUUGAGAGAAUACUAAGUUAAUGUUAAGAUUUUCAAUGACUUUGACCUAUAGGUGAGAUACUAAGGUGGUCAUCUAUUCCCUAUGGAUUAUGGUACUAUUUUUUGAGGCAGGUGUCAAUAAGUAUUCUUAAGAUAGGUACUAUGAUAUCUCAUAGGUUUGAGAUAAUGUAUCCCCUUAGGUGAUUUUAAGGAUACGUGAUCAAGAAAUCUAUGAUCGUAAUAAGUGGAAUUUGAUAUAUAUUUUUGAAGAACUAGAGUAUACUAGUUGAUUAUAUAAUAGGAGGAUUUGAAACUCAAAGAUCAUAAAGGUAAUCUUGAAAGUUUGAUAACAUUCAUUUCUUUAUAUUAAAGACACCAGUUCAUGAGAAGUUUCAUACAAUAGAUAGUAGGUCAUGGGUACAAAUUUAGUAUAUUGUUUUAAUAUUAUAUGAUCUUGAGUUUAGUAACUUGCUCAAGCUCAAAUUUCAUGGUGGCACAUUUUGAGGGAUAUUUGAGUUCUUUAUUCAUAUGUGUGAAUAAGGGCAUUGGUAAAUGCACGAAAUUGCACAAAAGUUUAUAAAUAGUCUUUCUAGAUUAGACUAAUUAAUUAAUUAUAAUCCAAUAGGGAUAAUUAACUAAUUAAAACUUAAUGGGCUAGAUUAAGUGCUUAAGCCCACAAGCAAGCCUAUGUAAAUCCCCUAAGGGGUUUAAGGCUUCUAUCAACUCUGCCAUUCAGUCUUUUAGAGAGAGGAAUCCUAGCCUCCAUCCCCUUCAAAGACUAAUCCAUCUUCCUUGUGUGCCAAGACUUGAAAAGAGAGCCAUUGGGUGGAAGAUCUAUUGGUCUUUGAGAUCCACGACAACUCUUCAUUCAAUGGAAUUGAUAAAGGAACAUCUAGAUUACAUGUAUCAUUCCCAAUCUCUAGAUCUAAAGUUUUAAAAUACUUAUUUGCUUCCAUUGUGAAGAUAUAGAGAAGCCUAGGAUAGAUUUUGCAUGCACUCAUGAGAUCCAAGGCCUAGGAUGGUUUGUGUAACCAAAUAUUCCUACAAUUGCUAUCAAAGCCCUAGGUUAGGCAAAAAAACAUGCUAAAACAAUUCUAUGAUGCGCUUAUCUUUGUUUGGUAGGAUUUUUCUUUUUAUCCCAUAACCUUAAGAGAUGAAUGUUUGGAUAUUUAAAUUUUGAAUGUGGUUCUAGAUGUUUAAUCUUUUGAUUAAAUAGAAUGGGUUGUAAUCUCCAUAAGAAGUAUGAGAUUUUUAUUUAGAAUGUAAAGAUCUAUUUUUUAUUCUUAGAUGGGUUGUAAGUAUUGGAUUUUUCUUCAUUGUAAAAAUCAUUUUUUAAUCCAUCUUUGUAAACAAAGAGAAGAAAGAUCUCACUUUAAGUAUUCAAGGACAUCAAUGGUGGAGAAACAUAUCUACAAACCAUCAAAGAUGCAAUGGCAAUGCUCAAGGGCUCAUCGAGGCCACUAACCGUAUCUAUAAUUAAUUAUAAAAAUUUCAAUUAAGGAGAAGCCUGAAUGAUGGAGACAUGUACUUAGACUCUAGCUUUUCUGAUGUGAGGAUAAUUGUACAUGUCGUGGGUGAUGUUACCUUAGUUUUAAAAAAUAAAUGUCAUCUAGAAUUUAAGGAUUGUUUUAUGUACUCGAGUCUAGAAAGAACCUAUUUCAAUUUCUAGUUUAAAUAAAUGCAAUUAUUUAGUUUAUUUCAAUAAAGACAUCUAUUAGAAAGAAAAUUCAUCUAAUGCCCAUUGGUUGAUAAUUUUUGUUGUAUCACUUCAUCUUACAUUCUACCAUGUGGUGAGAAUAAUCAAAUCUCAUUAAAGAAAAAAAUACCUAACACUAAUCAAACCUUCAUAUGACAUCUUUGCCUAGGUUAUUUAAAUCUAAAUAUUGCAUUCCUUGAUUCUAGAGGAUCUUCUAUUCUAAUGAACAUAGAGUCAAAGAAUGUUUGACGUUAGUACAUAGUGUUGUGUGUGAACCUUUAAUGUCUAUACAAGUGGAGGGUAUGAGUAUUUCAUCACCUUUAUUGAUAAUUACUUUAGGUAUGGUUAUGAUAAUCUUAUGCAUAGUAAAUUUGAUGCCUUGGAUAAAUUCUAAGAAUUUAAUGCACAAUUGGAAAAGCAAUAGGUAAGUGAGUUGCCUUAAGGCACUUCGAUCAUAUCGAGGUGGUGAGUACAUGUUGGGUAGGGGUGGCAAUUCAUGUAAGUGAGUCAUAUUUGUGUUAUGUUGAAACCUAGGUAUUCUACUACAUAGGUCAACCCAAACUUGAUACAAAUAAUAAUUGUGUUAAAAAUAUAAACUUAAACACUAUAUAAUUAUUAAACAUGUAACAUGUAGUGUAACCUAUUUAACCUAUUUAAUAAUUAGGUCAUCAUAUUUAAUAAUAAGGUUGAGUGAGGUAUUGUAUAAGUCUAUAUGAUUAAUGUUAUAACCAAACAUGUUUAUGACCUAAUUAACUUAUUUAUUUAAAAACAAAUUUAAAAUCAAUCAAAUUUGGGUUAAAUAAUUUAAAGUUAUAAUUAAAUUAAUUAUGAUUAUUAAAUGAGUCAAUUCAAGUCACAUUCGUGUUAUGUAGGUUAACCCAAAAUCUACCUAUUUAUUAAAUAGGUUAUGCAAACCUACAAAAAUUUGACCUAAACUCAAGCUGCAAAAAACAUGUUGGGAUCAAGUCAUGUUAGCGAAUCAUAACAAAAGUUGCCACCUCUAACGUCAAAUGUAGGUGGCAAUUCAUGUAAGUGUUGUGUUCGUGUUGUGCCAAACCUCUAGGCAUUCUACAACAUAGGUCAACCCAAACUUGACAUGAAUAAUAAUCGUGUUAAAAAUAUAAUUUCAAAUACUACUUAAUUAUUAAAUAAAUAAAAUGCCGUAUAACUUAUUUAAUAAUUAGGUCAUCCUAUUUAACAAUAAGGUUGAGUGAGGUCUUCCAUAUGUCUAUGUGAUUAAUGUUUCAACCAAACAUAUUUAUGAUUCAAUUAACUUAUUCAUUAAAAAUAAAUUUAAAAUGAGUUAAAUAAUUUAAAAUUACAAUUAAGGUAAUGAACAUAAUUAGUAAAUGAGUCAACUUCGAUCAAAUUUGUGUUAUGCAAGUUGACCAAAAAAUUAUUUAUAUAUUAAAUAGGUUGACACGAAUUUGACUCAAACUCAAUUAUUCUCAACUUCAACCUACGAAAAGCGUGUUAGGUUUGAGUUGUGUUGGCAAAUCAUAUCAUAUUUUGUCACCCUUAAUGUUGGGUAGGUUUGAUUCUUUUCCAAAAGAGCAUGUGAUUAUAUUCUAGUUGCUUGCUCAUGGAACUUUACAACAAAAUGAAGUAGUGGAAAGAAAUCGAUGAUGAGUUCCUCAACACUCCCUCUAUCCUUUUAGGGGCAUGCCUUGAAAACUGCAUGAUACCUUCUUAACCUAGUUCCUUUUAAGCCCAUGCUUUUGACUCCUAUAGAAAUGUAGACAGGUCGUAAAUCUACGUUACACCAUGUUCGCAUAUGUGGAUGUCUAGUAGAUGUGCCGAAACAAAAGGUAGAUAAGUUGGAAUCAAGAUCAAUAGUUAAUCAAUUUGUAAGAUAUCCAACAAGAACAUGGGGUCAUUACUUUUAUAGUCAAGUUAAUUGAAAUAAAAUUAUAUGAUAAGUAAUAAGUUUAGAAGUGAUGUCAAUUGGAGAGCACUUGAGGACACUUCCACAAUAAUAUAGAAUACUAUGGAUCUAGUACCUAUCAUUCCUAAUAGUUCUAGCAUGAGAGUGCCUUGUCAAAGUAGGAAGGCUAUUUCACAAUCAAAUUGAUUCAUAUAUUUAGGUAAGUCUUUUGAGACAAUUCCAAAGGAACAUGAGAUCGAACCCACAUUAGGAUGAAGUAAUGGGCAAAAACCAUUUCCUGAUAAGGGUGAUGCAUGGCUACAGAAUUUUAAGAAGCGAGGUUCUUCUGGUGCUUCAUGAACCAGCAGGAAAGUUAGUAUCAUUUUCCUGCAUUCUCACUAAUGCCCACUACAAGAUUUUGUUGAAUUACACUAGGAAACCAAACAUGCUUGCCAUUUUGAUAUAGGCUAUCAGCACAUUCCCUACAAGCUCAAGUAAUUUGAGAUGAUUUGAGAGCUGGACCGAUCUUAUAAGUUGGUGGGUCCUCAUAAACCAAAGUUUCUAAAGUGCUAGGAUGGAUCCAAUCUUCACGUUAUUAUAGUAAAACCAACUCACGCCAACUUAAUCAGAGUUUUCAGUCAUGGUCUUCCAAAGAGAGAUAUAUAGAGGGAAAUGCAAGGCAAUAUUCACUUCAGACAUGCAAGGCAAACAUCCAGUAGUAAAAUAUAUAAAUAAUAAUAAUAAUUCUCAAGUAACAGUGUUAACAACUUCCAACAUAUCUGCAAUUUUUAUGCACAAUGUUUAGACAAGAUCUCUAUGCACGAAAUAAAGAGAAACUAAAAUCUACUUUUUCCUUCUCCUAUUCUUAUUCUCUUGAAUGACCUGGGGUUAAAAACAAGUUACUGGAUCAUUCUAUGGUUUCUGUUUCUACCCAUAUCAAGUGUAUAGUUGGGGUAAUACAUUGCCCUAGUUGAUAGAUUUUUAAGCACAAAUAUGCAAAAUUACAAAAAAUAAAUAGAACAUAAGCUACAACAUUAGCACAAAAAUUGGAUUUGGAAGAAAGGAAAGGAUCUUAGUUUAUUAUCAAAGAAAAUUCAAGACCAAUUUGUUAGGAUAAAGACUUAGUCAUCCUAUCUAAAAAUGAUUAGUCAAACUAAUGCUUUCCCAAGCAAACCAAAUCCUGGAUCACAUAAAAUCAUAAACAAAGCUGGCUCAGAUAUCAUUUGUUAGGAUUAAAGAUUUAGCUAUUCCAUUUGAAAAUAAUUUUAUAGUCAGUGAGGUCAAACUAAAUCUCUUCAUAUCCUAGUCAUACAUAAUCUCUAGGAUAUUUUGCAAGAUUACAUCAAAUCCUAAGCACACCAAAUCUAGGGUCUAACUUUGUGAGCCAUCAUUUUCCCAAGGAGCAGCAUUAUUGCCAACCUAACACGAUCUUGAAAGGAUAAAACUAAUGAACAUCUAGCUUUUUCUAACAUGGAAUCGGUAGUUUGGUUCUAAGAUUUUUAAGUUGUGACCUCUUUAAGAGCAUUUAUUUAUGAUACCAUUUGUUUAUCUCUCCACAUGUGAGAGGAUGGCUGUUUCGAGCUUCAUAUAUGUUGUUGGAUAAUUUGGUAAGGUUAUGUUUGAUUCCUAGUAUUAAGGAAAAAAAAAAAAUUAAGAAAAAUGAUUUUCUUAUGUUUGAUUGCCCAUAAAAUAUACUAUAAAGAAUCAAAUAUAAUUAAAAUUAAUUAAAAAUUCAUAUAUUAUCAAAUUAUUUAAUCUUUAUAUUGAAUAUGGUUUGAAAUUACAUAUAAAAAUAAUUCAUUAACUUCAAAUUCAUAUUUUAUUUUUCUUUAUUUUUUUUCUUUUUUCCACUUUUCUUCUUUAUUUUCUUUCCCUCGUAUUUUCUCUUAAAUUUUAUGGAAACCAAACAAAACCAAAUUGGUAAUUUAACAUUUUAUAGCUUGCAAACCAACAAGAAUUGCUACUCUAAGGCCAAAAAGAGCAUUGAGGUUUGAAGCAGACUUCUUCAUUUAGAGACAUUUUGAGUGAAAGUUAGCACUUAUAAAAAUAAGUCUAGCAAGUGGGAAUAACUAAUACCUAUGAAAAUAGUGAAUAUUUAAAGUAUAAUGAGUACAUUUUUAAAAUAUUUUUUUGAUAGGUAAUAAGAAAAUAUAUUAACACGUAAGAAACACAUACCGAGGUAUAUAUUAUAUGCAUGAGGAGGCAAAAUAGGGGGGAAAGGAAACAAAAAAUGUGUUUUACCCUCACUUGGAGUUAUAUCAACCAACAAAGUCUAAAAUGGUUGAGGAAUGAGUAUCAAUUUGUGCUCUAAAUCAUUCCAAAAUAAAUGCUCAUAAAAAUGGGUUGGAAUGCUUGGUCUAAUUGUACCACAUCUUUCAAAGAUCUCUUAUUUCUUUCAUUUCAAACAGUUUAAAACACUCACAAAUGGGCCACCUUCCAUGUCUUUUUCCAAUUUUUUUCCUACGAAGGAUUCUUGCAAACCAAGAAGGCUUCCUCUCAUUGAAGCAUGCAACACCUAACCUAUUCCAAACAACAAAAAAUUAAUUACCAUGAAAUGCUUGCGUUAAAGCAAUGAAGGAGGACGUGAUCAAUUGGUUUUUUAUUCUUUAUACACAUGGUACACCUAUUUGGUAUAGCCCAUCGCCUUUUUUUGAGCUGAUCAAUCAUUAAAAUUUUGCUCUAAGCAGCUUUCCAAGUGAAGAAAUCCAUAUUCAUAGGAGCUUAAGAAUUCCAUACAAUACUUGUGGGAAAAGACUCCCUAGCUACUAGUCCGAACUAGAAAGGAAUAAAACGAUUUGAUAGAGAAAAUGAUGCCUUUAGAGUGCAUUAAAAAAUUAUUUAGACCAUAACUUAAUAACAAUGAAUUGCCUUAAUAGAGUAGAAAAUAUAAAAAAAAAACUCAUUGAAUAUUGAAUAAGUAUAAAUCAAAAGAAAUAUAAGUCUUAUAAUAUCAAUUUGGUUCAAAUUUUAUUGAUUAGGGGGGGACAAGGAAACAAAAAACUGACCCAAUUAAGUUAAUUUCAUAAUUGCCAAAUCAAAUUGACCUUCAUGAUUGUAACAUGAUUACCAAAUUGAAACAUCAUUGAUGGUCGUUGAAAACCGAACAAAUUUAAUUGGUUUUAGUUGGAUUUAAAUAGUUUUAUAGAUUUUUCACUAUUCACUCAUACCUAUAAUUACCCUUAACCCAUUUGUUUACUUGGGAACUUGACAAUGGGACAUCGUUGCAAAAGAAAUUAUUAUUUUUGACAAAAAGUAAUAAAGGGUUUCACUUGUAGAACCAAUCUUACCAAAUUUAUGCAAGAUAAUAGGAAUUAGUACUGUUGUGUGAUCCAUCUUAUGAUCUCGAUUUUCUCACAAUGAAGAUGAAAAUAUUGCUAACCAAUGAUUUCGUGCCUCUUAGGGAUUUGAAUCAUUUUUGUAAUAUUGUUUUACAAGUAAUGUGCUUGUUAAAAUAAACAAAAAGUAAUUAUAAAAAAAUUUCAUUCACCCUUCAAUAGUAGUUUUUGAAAACUAUUUUUUUAAAAACAAAAAUAAAAAUAAAUAGAUUUCGAUAAUACAAUGAUUUAUUUCAUUAAGCGUUAACUUUUAUAUCGAAAUAAAUAAACCUAUUUUAAAUUUUAACAUCUAUAUUUCAAGUAUUAUAUACAUUUAUAACAAUUUAAUUUCCAAAUAUUUAAAGUUUAUUUUUAAAACAUAGUUUACCAAAUGUUCAAUUGUUUUUUGUUGCAAUUAAUUUCUUAGAGCAUAGUUAAAAGUAAUUUUCUAACUUAUGUUUGGUUCUUAGAAAGUGCUAAGAAAAAAAAAAGUCAAAAAAAUGAUUUUCUUAUACUUGGUUUUACUAUCAAAAAUGAAAAAAAAAAAAAAUCAAAUAUAACUAGAAUUAUUAAGAAGUUUUGUAUAUUUUUGAAGUAUUUAAAAUUUAUAUAGAAUAGUGAAAUAAGUGAAAAAAAUUUGAAAUAAUAUAUAAAAAUAAUUUAUUGAUUUUAAAUUUUUAUUUUUCUCUUUUUCUUUGCUUAUAUUUUUCCCAUUCUAUUUUUUUGGUUCAAACUUUCCAGAAUCCAGGUUGAGAUGUUAAGGAGUUGCCACUGGAAUGUGGCAGUCCUAUAUAAAAGCCCAAGAAUCGUUUUUAUUUUAUUAUUUUUUAUAUCACUCAACAAAUUUCUCAAACUAAAUGAAAUUGUUACACAAAUGAUUUCAAAGGAGAUUUGAGCACAUUUAAAUCCACAUUUGCUGUCAAAAUGCUAGCCAGAUUGAUAAAAAUCCAACUACUCUUUCCUAAUUCAUUGAACUUUUUGAUAACUUCACAUUCUAUACAAAUUUGAGCUCUUGGAUUUGCAUAUUUCAUUCAUUUGUUUAUGCAAAAUAUGAGAAUUUGCUUAAUAACAUUUUUAAAUAUAUAUAUUUUUUAAAUGUUUAUAUUUUGUAUUUUGUUUAUUGAUAAUUUUAUUUCUUUUCAUUCUAACUUAAGAAUAUUUUGAAAUUUACUCUCCAUUGAAUUUUUUUUUAAAAAAAAAAAAAUCAAUUUUUUAAAUUUAAAAUAUGAAUAUUUCUAAAUUUUUUUAUAAUGCUUACGUUUUUAAAUGAUUUUAAUUAUUUUUUAGACGCAUUAAGAGAUAGUCAACCUAAUUGACCAUAACAUUCUCAAUUUCUCAAAAAAAAAAAAAAAAAAAAGAUUCGAAGUUGUUGGAAGGACUUACAUCCCCUCAAAGAUCGAGAGGAAUCUAUUGAAGUAUUAGGGAUGAUAGGUCUCGUGGAUUAAAGUAUAAGUAUUGGAGAGUAAAUUUUUAGGGUAAAAUAAUUAGGUAAAUUUAUUUAUUUUGAUAUUAUAAUGGAUGGUAAAUCAAAAGUGUUAAACUUCUGAUUUUUUAGUUUCAGUGAGUUUUCUAUAUAAAUAAAUUUUUAUGUCAUUUACAUAUGUGUUUGAUUUUGAUUAGUUUAUUUAUUCUUAAUAUUUCUUAAAAUUUAAUUAAGUUAAAAUAAUUUAACUAUCUUAUUAUAAUCUUUUAAAAUAUACUCAUUCAUCCCUAAUGUUAUUGUAUUAAACAAACGAUUUUUCAACUUCCAUUAAAAAUACUUAAAGUAGAAACAUUGUCAAACACUGAAAUAAUUGAACCCUUAAUCGGGUUUUAUUAGACAUAAUCAAAGUUAGUUCAAAUGAAAACCAGACAGAAAAUAAAAUAGAAAAACAUAUAAGUUUGUUAUCCAAUAAACCUACCUACAAAUACCCUAAAAUAAUGUGACAUCUUGAUAUUUUUCAUGUCAGAGGUCAACUCAAUAAUUGAUAAAUCAUAUUCUAAGUGCCUUUAUAGAUAGACCCCCCACUUUUUUUUUCUUGUUCUUCUGGAAGCACCUAUGGCCCAGAAAAACGAUCAGUCUUCCCUUACAUGAUUCAGUCCUCUUGAGCCACCUGCCCCCUCAGAGUUUCGCUUGACCUUGUACUAACAAAGGACAUACAGCACCAUACUUGUGUGCCUGCCCAUCUAGUGAAUUCAUUCAUAGCCACAGAAAACAAAAAGAAAGGCUUAAAGCUGUCCCUAGAAGUAAGCCUAUGAUGGAUGGAAAUUCACUUUUCCCCUUAGCUGAAGAUGAUGAGCUUAUCUCUCUAGGUGCCUAUAGUUGUACUAGGGAGGGUUUUUCUUCUCCUCUCUCAUGCACCCAAUGUUUGAUGAUGGAAAUUAUAUAUAUUUGCAAUUAAAUAAAGAAAACAACUUAGGUUAUUUUUAAUUUUUCAGGUACUCACAUUUUUUUAAAACACAAAUAAAAAAAAAAAAAUAAAUAUUUUUGACAGGACAAUUCAGAAAUGUGCUAUUAAGGCUUUUGUUGUUUUCAUCUUUUUGUUUCCAUUUCCAAAAACAAGAAAGUUCUUAUUUCUUCUGCUAAGCCUAUUUCUUUAACCCUUUCAAGGUUUCAUAGGAUCACUGUCUAGAUCCUACAUCUUGUUUUCUAACUGUUUUUCAAAAUACUUUUAUAUUAUAAGAACCAAAAUAUAUAAAAAUAAGUUCAAUAAUAUAAAAAUAAAAAAUUUGAUAUUUUUAAAGAAUAUAUUUUAAUUACUUUCGUUGAUUUCAUUUGUUUUGAAAAAUAAUUAUAUAAAUAUAAAAAAUAAUUAUAAAAAAGUAUUAUAUAUAAAAUAUUUUUAAAGCAUAUUAAAAACAUAAAAAAUAGACUAAAGUAUUUAAAGUUUUUAAAUAAAAUUUUAUUUUACAAAAUAUAUUUAAAAGAUGUUUUUAAAACCUAUUUUUUGGAACUAUUUUCAAAAACAUUUUACAAAUAUAGCCCUAGUGUUAUAAUUGUAGCAUUUAAUGCCAUUUUUGCUCCAUGUAGCAACCAAAUCACUUUUCUUUCAUUUCACCUCAUCUUUUAAUUCCAUUCAUAAUACAUAAGUUAAUGUAUAGUAACUUAGCUUGCUUGCAUCCUUAUCCCAUAUUUAGUACCCAUUGGAAUAAACCAUGAUAGACCUAAAUAAAUUUUGCUUCACCUAAUGGAGCAAACCAGCAUAACUCUCAUUAAAUUUAGCCAAUUUUAUACAAUGAAAAGUGUUUUUGAUAACAAUUUUAAAAAACAAUUUUUGAAAAUAUUUUUCAUAAAUUAUUCUAUAACCAUUGUUUUUAUCUUAUAAAUCAUCAAAUUCUCAAUGAAAUUAAACUUAGAAUUUUCAUAGAUUCUUCAUCAUUUAGGGAAAAACAAAAACCAAUAACACAAAAUCAUAAAAUUUGAGUUAGAAAUGAAUUUACUUCAAAAUUUUGAUGUUCAAUAUCUUGGAAUAUAAUAAAGCACAAAUAAAUAAAUUAUUAUCUAUUCUAAUAAAAUUUCUCCAGCUAGACUUCAAACAUAGUUUAUUAUAUAAUACUAAAUUAAUUUUAAAAAUAAAAAGUUAUCCUUAAAUUGAAAAUUGGAAAUCAAUCAAUUAAUUUCAACAAUAAACACACAUUUUAAUAACAAUAGAAAAUUUCUAACAUCUUUCUAGUAAACAAACAUCAUGAUUAAAAAUACUAUCUGAUAUCAAAUUGCUAAUUUUCUAACUAGUUAUAUAAUUAAUCAUUAUAAACUUUAUAUUCCUAUUAUGAAUUUUGAUAUUUGAGGAUGUUGAAAACAAAUUAUACUACUUUUUCCCCCCCCAAAUUAUUAGUUUUCAAACAGAUUAUGUUCAUAAUAUAAAAUAAGAACGGAUAAAUUAAUACCCGAUUGCUAAUUUCUUUAUUAACUAUUAUAAUUUUUGUGUUAUUAUAAUGGAAUAGGUAUUGUAGGAUAUUCGGAAAUAUGUUAAAUUAUUAUUAUUAUUUUAAAUUAUAAGUUUUUAAAUAUCUAUCUUAAUUGUAUAAAAUAAGAAUGAAUAAUCCUAACAUUUUGAAAUAUUUGGAAAUAUGUUAAUUAUUAUUUCUUUCUAAAAACUAUUAGAUUUUAAUAUAUUAAAUAAGAAGAAACAAUAAAAAUUAUUUUUAUUACUGAUUUUCAAACAUUUCUAGCAUUAAAAAAAAAUUAAUAAUAUUAAAAUAUCAAUUAAAUCAAACAAAUGAACAUUUAAUGCAAAUUAAACAAUUAAUGAUAUUCACCUCUAUUUAUAUCUAAGUUUAUUAGUGUACAUCUAUUCAGACUUUAGAGGGGAAAAAAAAAGGUAUUACCCAACCCAUGGAAAUAGCCCAGCCAUUAGGGUAAAGGAUUUGAUGAAGUAUGCUGAGAAAGAUUUAAAAAGUAAAAAAAUGAAAACUAAAUCUCACUUUUCCAAAGAGCCUACGAAGAACACUUCAAAAGUAUGAUGAUUGUUGUAAAGGAACUAGAUAUCCUUUGCUUGUCAUGACUUUAAUCCAAGUACUUUAGAAUCUAUAUGGAUAUGAAUUGAUAAUCGAAUAUAGCUUCUAUUUCUGCCCAACUUCUAGCUAUGACAAAUAUAUGUAAGGCAUCUCCCUGAAGUUAAGUUGGUAACGGGUGUGACAAGUCCUCAUAGUUCAGAAUGAUUAAGUAGCUUCUUACAUGAACAACUAUUCUUCAUAUAGAAUUAUUUGAGUCUUGAUCCAAAUCAUCACAUAGGGCUUGUUUGGUGCCUUUGUAGGUCAUGGUGAAAUACUUUGUUGGAAAAUCUAUGCAAAGUAGAGGUAAUGAACUAGAUAUUAUAUAAAGAUUUUAAGUUCUGGAAAAUCUUCAAGGUGGUUUUUGCUAAAACAUACCCCUAACUUUUCUGCAAAGAGCUUCUUUUGUUUUAAAGGGUUUGACAUGUAAUAAAACAAGCUAAUGGACUAUAAGUGAUAUGUAGGGAUAUCUUUCUGCAUGCUACAGAUUUGGUUUAAGGUUUUAGAUUUUAUGUGCUAAACCUCCCUCUCCUUCCCCAGCUUUAAAAACUAGAUGCAAAUGCCAUGAGAUCAAUAUGCAGUUGUAGUUCUAGGGGCUAUGGCUCAGUAGAUCUACUAGGAUUGCUGUACAUUCUAUUUGACUUCGGUUUGUAACAGUUUGAGACACUGCAGAAGGUUUUCUAAACCUUGAUUAUCAAUCCAUUGAUCUAGAGAUGGCAUGUUCUUGAGAACUUUACCAUCAUGCUUAGCAUAAAGUUUUCCGUAAGUAACAAGCAUGAAUACCUCUUAACAAUGAGAGAUUACUCGGAGAAGUUUGAAAGCUUCUUGAAAUAUGGAAAGUCUCUAGAGAGGCACCUCGCACCUAAGUUCUAGAGAAUGGAAUGAGAUGUCUCAUCUAGAUAAAUUUACACUCAACCAUAGCAAAGUACUGAAUUAUAUCUCAUGAAAGUUUUGACAGCCUUAGACCUUCCACAUUGAGGCCUUCCCCUUCAGCCAUUUUGGAUCAAAAAUCACUUACACAUGGAGAGCUGCUAAAUGGCUUAGUAAUAGAAUCUUCUAAAAUAAGCUAUAAUGGAGAUUUCUCAGGAAAGGAAGAAAAAGCAAAGGAAUAGUACUUAACAUGGAAAGGGUUAUCAUGGAGCCUCUCUACAGUUCUUGUCAACCCACAAAUGGAGACUAACUAUCGGAGAAACAGGCGGAUUCUCAUUGCAAAAUGGAGAAGAAUACUUAUCUCUUUAAAAGUUAGUAAGGAAGUUUCUCAAGAAAAGAAUUUGGAAUCUCUUCAUUACCACCUAUAAAUACGAGGUGUUGGACCUAAUCUGAAAGCCAGAAACAUAACGUACGUAGUUGGAGAAUAUUCUCGUUCAGCAACAAAUAUAAGUGGACGGACCGGACCAAAGAAGCAACUAAAUAUGGGAGGCUUUGGAUUGUCCUGAAACAAAAAAGAUUGGGAUUGCUGCAUCCUUCAAUAUAUAUGGUUGUUUAAGAAAAAAUAAAAUAAAAUAAAAAUGCUAUUCCCAAUCCUUCACUUGUUUACAGUAUCAAAGCAUGUCAGUCAUGCCUUUUUGGGAAAUUGUUCUUUCCCACUGAUUUUACUUUCUCAGUGUCCCUUCUUGCCUGAGUUUUGUCUUUGUUCACAACAUUUUGAAUUUUGUUUAUUUCAUACUACUUAUAGUGGUAAUGGAGACAUCCUUAGAAGAGGAGGGAAAGCAGGAGAUCCAACCAAUCAAUCUCUCUCAACUUUCUUCAUCACUACAACCAUACAUACCAUGCUCCUGCAUUCAUCCUAAGUUGCACUACUGUAUACAUCACCCAAGAAGUUUCAUAUUACCCUUCAGAUCUUGAAAUAGAACCCAGGAUUCCUCUUUGAUAAUGUCAUGGACAUGAAUGCAGAAACCUAAUAGCUCUCUGUCUGAAGUUGUUUGAAUCAUCCCAUCAGCAACAUUUGCUUGAACUUCCAUAUAAAUGCAACUUUUUUGUCAUGGGGAUGGUCAUAUCACCCCCUCCCUGGUUGUGUAAUAUUAUCAAGGUGAAGAAAAUAUAGGUCAGAUGCUAAUCUAAGCAAUUGGUUUGUUCUCCUAAUUGUUUCUCAUGAAGAUUCACCAGAUACUAUUCUAGGUGCAGUUCACUAACCUUGUAUAAUUUCUACUAUUUCCAUUCAUGCGAAUAUCUAGGCAAUUGGUUAAAAUGAUGAGACAAUUGAGAGGCCUAUUGUGAGUACCUUUCUGGUCUUAUCUCUGAGAUCACCAUGAUUUUAUGACCCAAAAGGCAACAGUUUGAAGAGCCAUAGACACACAUCUAAACGGCCGACAGCAUGUUUCAAAGAUCUGCUCACAACCACCAGUCUCUCUGGUCGAUAAGAUACUUGUUGUCUCUGCCUAAUGUCUUCAAUAGCUUUACCUUUUUCAGGAUCUACCAUUCACCUACUGUUCCAAAGGCAGUUCAUCUUUGUGUUGCAGGUUUUCACACUAAAAAGGAUAUGACAUUUCUGGGUGGUUACUGUUUUGAUUGGAAAGGUUUUUCUUCCCAUGUUAGGCUUGGUUUUUUUCAUUGCCACUUUUUGUUCAGAGGACUUUAUUAAAAUGGCUUUUAGUCCGUGACUGGAAACUCCAUAAGUACCUAAAUAACUCCCAAAAUAUUUCUAUGGAAUCCUCAAGAAACUUCUUCGUUCUCCACCUGAUUUCUAAUUCAGAUCUCCACAACAUAACAAAAUUGCUGUUGAUGAUGAAAUUGGUUAAAGACUAACUUGGUGGCCUGGUGUAGCUAGAAAAGUUUUCAGGGAGUAGGGCAGCUUUUGUAAUCAACAGUUGAACUCUCAACUGCAAGAACCAUUGUUGAUUCAGUUCACCGACAGGCUAAAAUAAAACAACUGGAGGAGAAAGCAACUAGAUCCUGUAGAUAAUCUACACACACUUCGAACACAAAACCUAGAUACACAAACUAAGAGAAAAAGAAAAGGCAAAAGGAAAUUUUGUGGGAAUUGGUCCUGCUAAUGUUUCUAAAAGAAGGGCACUAACAAAUAUCGAGAAUCAGUACUAGGUUACAAAACUCAUGGGGAAACAAUGAAGAAUAUGAAACCCGGUUCCCAAAACAGUAGCUCAGACACAAAGCCCUAGGGGGCCGGACCCUAUAGCUUGGUCAGAUGGCCUGACUCAGUGAGGUUCCGACAGGGCCAAACUCGGUCACACCCAAGUCCAACACCCAAUAAAAAUAAUUAAGUAUUGAUAAUUUCUAUUAGUAUAAGUAAAAGCACCCCCAUUUGCUCCUACUUUUCAGCAGGCGAUCAAAAUAAAUCCACGCAGAUGCACUACUCGAACUGCACAAAAGUGUUUUAAAAUUUUCAUUUAUAACGUUCAGUACUCCAAAUUUUUGACCAGUUAUUGAAAGAUAAUGUCUGAGAAGACUCGCUUUUUUCUUUCUCUAACUGGGAGAAGAAGAAAUGCAGGACCUGGUGCAGGAAUAGAGACUAGAAGUCAUGUUCAGAAUGAGACCAAGCUCUUGGUAACAUAUGAUAUGGAGUUUUGAAUGGAAACAUGGUGUCAGACUCUGACCCUUCCACCAAAUUUCGCUGCAAUAUGAAUACAUAUUUGAUGCAAUGCAGGCCACAGAUGAACAGUGAAAUAACAGGCAGAAAGCAGCACCGUAUACCCAUACCCCAAAAACCAAAACCCAAACCAAACCAAAACCAAAAACACAGAUUCACAGAACACCAUAAAAUUUCACCGCAAAGAGAGAAAAAAAAUCAUGGAAAAUUAGAAGAUCCGAAUUAGGGUGCAAGUGCAAAACCUGGAAUCACUGGAGUACUCGAAGAGCUUCCCUUUAGUAGAGAAGACGAUCAAAGCUACCUCAGCAUCGCACAGCACAGAAAUCUCAUGAGCUUUCUUCAGCAGGCCAGAUCUUCUCUUGGAGAAAGUUACUUGCCGACUGAUCUUGUUCUCGAUCCGCUUCAACUGAACCCUUCCUCUCCCCAUUUGCGCUCCUUUCUUUUCUCCCUGGUCAGAAGAUCAAAAACUACCACAAAAUUGCAGAAACCCUAGUUACAACUGCUGUACUGAAGAAAGAAGGCAGAAAGAAAAAAAGGCAGAAGAAGAAGAAGCAGAAGAAGAAGAAGAAGAUGACGACACAUCAUGGGUUACUUACUAAAUAUGUGUGGGAAGAGUGGUUUGCUUAAGUAUUCUUUCCAUGUAUGAAGCGCAAGGCUUUGUGUAUAUAUAGAUAAAAUAUAAUUGGGAAGGGGGGAUUGGAAAAGCAGAGAGAGAGGAGUGGUUUUGGAAAACCAGGUGGUAAUGAGGAAUGUGUUGUCGAGUUGUGAUUGGAGAUGAGGCUGGGCAGUCGUUACUGUCUCGUUUUGGGCCACAGGUUUCGAGACAUUCCGUACAGAUCAUGUCAGCCGUGAAGGAGGCUUUGUUUUGUUUUGAUGUGGUGACGGCGCUUCCUCUUUCACUUCUUUUAUUACAUCUCUUCCAUUUUCUUCAUUUCUUUGCUGGGUUUCAUCAUCUGCUUUGGGUCCAUUCCCCACAAAAUUAAUGCUCAUUCAUAUUCUUUUUUCACUUUUCUUCUAUACCCGUUUGGUUGAUUUAAUUUAGCUACCCACUACAAAAUUUAGUGGGUUUCAUGGACACCAUAUUUCAGAAUGAACCCGUUAUUAUGUAGGUUGCAUCAAGGUUAGAGACUUUUAGAGUCUUUUUCCAAAGAUAGAAUAAAUUUAAGAAAAACUUUUUCUUUUCAUGUCCAUUGCUUGACAGAAGACAAGAAAAGAAUGAAUGGUAAGAGACAUGCUAGUUUUUUGACCAAUAAAAUGACACCAUAUGGACAAAUCCUGAAAUCUUCUGGGUGAAAUUGUGAUGAUAUAAGAAGACCCAUCUUACAAAGUGACUUCUUCUGAUUUCCAAAUCGCCUUUCGGCUAUUCCUCUUACCCUCUAAAACGGAAACCCAUCUGGUACUUUAUGUGCUCAAUAUUGGGGGAUACAAGGUCUAUCAUUGAGGUGCACCCUUAAGCCCAUCUAGGGCAUACAUGAAGCAUUGGGUGAUAUCUCCUGGAUUAUGCUUAGAUUGAUGAGCCCCUUAUAAAGAGAAAUUUGAGAAAUAUUCUCUUAAUAGGGUGAGAGGGGCUUUUAUAACCAAUAAGUGGAGGUGGGAUCACGAGUAUCCAUGCCCUACUUUAGUUAGUAAUAUCGGAUUGAUAGUGUCUGCAUUCACCUCAUGAUGUCAAUGUCUCCAUCUUAAAAUUAUUAGGAAAUAGUAAAUAUGUCUUUUACAUCAAUCAACAAAGCAACAUGCGUGACUAAUUCAACUUGAUAAAGUAGAGGCGCAUGGAGUUGGACUUUAUUUGAAGUGAUGUAUAAUGAAUUAGUUGAUUUAUCAAAUUAAUAUAUUAUUGCCAAUUAAAUUCAUUUAGUUGGGUUAGAUGGAUUUAUAAAAACAUUGAUUCUAUUUGUUUUAUCAAACCAUUUAAUGAUAAUUGAAUAAAACAAACAUAAGUCAUUUGUGGAAAAUCUUGAGUUAUACUAGUAAUAAUAUUUAGCUCAUUAACAUGAUAUGAUAAUCAAAUGAAUUAAACCAGUUGCACAACACCUAAUAUAAAAAUGAUUGAUUCAUAACUAGUGAAUUGACACCAUUAUGAUACAAAUAUAAUAAGAUUCAACCUGAACUCAUUAAUUUUAUCUUUUUUGUUUUUUUUUUUGGAAUCAUUAUAAGUUAUAUUAAGAGGAGUCACCCUUAAGUCUUAUUUUUUUGCCGCACUGGUACCAAAUUAAAUCACUAAUAAUUUACUAAAGAAGGACAAAUUAAUGGGGUCCAACUAUACUUAGAUCAAACCCAUAUAAUAAUGUUAUCAAUGUUGUCACAAAUGACAUUGACUGAGAUGAUUUUAAAUUGGCAUGCAAGAAGUCAAAUGAUAAAUGACAAAAGAACAUAUUGUCCUCAAACAUCUGUUCUUACCCCACUUUAACUUGGGUGUUGAGUUAGCCAUAAUCUUGGUUCCCCAAUUAUCAUUUUUAUUCCUCUUAAUCAAAAUUGAGAACAUGCAGGAGAAUCUGGCAUGAGCAUGGGUUCUCUGCUCCUGAGGCUCUCCGGUACGCUUGUAGAUUUAUUCAUAUCUUCAUCAUCAGAUGGAAGCACAUGUAUAUCUAUCCAUAUAUAUAAAAUUGUCCAUGAUUGAACUAGAUUUCCUUUAAAAAGUACCAUUACGAGUCCUUUCACAAUAGCCCACCACUUCAAAUCACUUUACCUUAGUACCACAUCAAGGUGUCAAGAUUUCUCUUUCUUGCUGAAUAAACAAUGAACUUAUUUCAAUCAUUUGUCACAACUGAACCCUUAAUUCGAUUCUUCUAACCUUUCAAAAUCAAGAUUAUGAUAGUUUUUCAUCAUGAGUGGUGCAAAAUUUUAAGACCAUUGUACACUUUUUUUUUGUUCUCGAAUAAUAUCAUUCUUCCUCAUAGCCUGUCCCCAUUGGUAUCACUACAUCAAGUUUAUGCUAAUGUACUCGCUUUAUUUUUUUGCAUUUAUCAUAUAUGGUAAAUAAAUUAAUAAAUUAAUUAAAUUAUGAGGUUGGUUGGGCAACCUUUUCGUACCAUGUCUCUUUAUUACAAAAAAAGAAUAGUUAGGUUGUGUUUGGUUAUGCUGACUUACCUUGAACUUUUCUAUAAUUGAUGGAAUUCGGUUUAAGAGGAGUUGAUCCAUUUAAUUACUAAAGAAGAUAAUGUAUAGUAAUCUCUUGUAAUUAUUUCUAAGCAUUCAACUUUAAUAAAAUAAAGCUGGAUUUAAACGAGGACAAUGAUGAUACUGAAACCUAGGUUACAGUGGUCCACCCCACGAGUAUAAAUGAAAUUCUUUAGCUUUAAUCGUUGGUCAUUGAAACCAACCCAUGUAUAAUAUACUGAGUCAUUUGGAGUAUAAAAUGUUGGGUGGUCUUAUGGGGGCUAACCAAAAAUAAACAACAUUAUCUUUAUAAGUAGAUUGAAGCUACAUUAGUUAUUCUAAAAGUGUAGAGUUGUAGUGUAGGGACCAUGCAUGAUAGAUAGAUCAUAGAUAUAGUCCAUGCACAUUGAACUAAAAGCACAUUUGUAAAAUACUUAUAUAGUAUGACAAGAUACUUAGGGAAUUUUUAGUUAUUUGCAUUAAUUUUACGCAAACCCAAAAUAUAUAUUUAAAAAAAAAAGAUAAAAAAAAAAAAGAAAAGGCAAAAGUUUAUAAAAGAUGUAAUGCUUUUUAUUGGGAAUGGCAGGAGCUUAGGCCUUAAUAACCUCGUGAAGGGACACAUCCCUGUGCCUGUUGAGACAAGUAGUCAAGUAGAGGGUAGGCAUUGGAGGUGUGGAGCUGAGGUGUUGAGCUCUCAGACGCUUGCCAUCCCAUCGCCUGGAAAGGAAGGGGGUGUCUUUAUAAUUUGGACUAGAGUAUGGGACAACUUUUAUGCUUCUAUUUAUUUAUUUUUGAGAAAAAAGAGGGUAAAAAUUUAAUGGGAUAGUGAAAUAGAAUGCUGCCACAGCCAGAGGGGCCCUGGCUUCUUGCAGUGCAACAAUUGUUAUAUUAAGUUGACUUUCCUCUAGGGGGUUUGGAGCAUACUGAUUUUAUGGUAUUUUUAAUGCAUGAUGUUGCACACUUGUUAAAUAGUAAAUGUAUUCAUUAACACCCAAUUUUUUUUUUAUAAGCUAUUUAUUUAUUUAUUUACUUAUUUAGUUUUGUAAAAUAAACCCAAUAAAAUAAUAUUUCACGUAGGAUCGACAAAUUUUUUUUCUUAAAAUCAAUUUUUUUUAGUUUUACAAAUGUAUUUUAAAAUCAUAAAAACCUUUAAAUUUAGAUAAUAUUAGGGAUGACAACGGGGCGGGUUUGGAACGAGUCGCUCUCAUCCCAAUCUCGCCCUGUUUAUUUGAAACAAUUCCCAUCUAUAUCCCAUAAAUGGGGCGGGACGGGAAUAAAUUUUCAUAUCCGCUCCGUUUAAUUUUUUUGUUUUAAUUUUAAUUUUUUUUUAAAAAAUUACUUAAAUUUUUUUUAAUUAUAUUAAAAUAAAUAUAUUUUAUAAAUAAUUAAAUAAUUAUAUAUUUUUAAUUUUAUAUAUAAUCGGGGCGAGGUGGGAUAAUACCCAAACCCGCCUCAAAACUACCCCAUACUUAAAAAAAGAAUUUUCAAACCCGUUUAUUAAAAUUAAACCCCAUCUCAUUAGGGAUAGGUAUCCAAAAAGACCCGCCCCAUUGUCAUUCCUAGAUAAUAUUUAUGUAAUUAAGUGUAAGUUGUUAUAAAUUCAUUUAAUUAUUAAUUUUUAUUAUUAUAAUAAUUAAAAUAUUUUGAGGAGAAUAAAAAAGGGAUGAAGAUUGAAUUACUCGAGGGAGGUGAAUUUCCAACCUGCUGUGCCUUAUCCUUGGUAAUAGAUGUCAUAAGAGUAAUGCCGGUGGGCAAACUGACAAAACUUGAAGAAGUUCAUGAAUGAUUCUAGAGAAUUGAUGAAUGUCAGAAUAUUAUCAAGCUGGAUGUAAGUCUGUGACAGCAAAUGAUUUUUUUUUCAAAAUCAAUAUCAAAAUUGGAUAUUUCUCCACAAACUUUUCCAAUUGCAUAUUUAUUUUCCCAAAUUUUUUUUUAUGUUGUGGGAAUCUUUGAUAGAGGGCCCAAGUGGAUGUCAUUUAGCCUAUGAGUAGACUAAUUGUACGAGAUGCUUUUGCAUCAUCGUAAAGGUAGAUUCCACACCCAGUUGCACACUUGCGCACCAACACAAGUGGGAAAACAAUUUUAGAAAGAUUAACAAAAGAGGAGAGAGGGAGGGAGAGAGAGAGAGAGAGAGAGGGAGGGGGGGAGAAGAGAGAGAGAUUCCUUCCCAACCCACAACAAAUGACAUUAGAGAAAAUGAAGUAAAAUAAGCACUAUUGUUGGAAUUUUAUAUCAAAGGCUGGAGAACAGUACCAUUUUCUUUCUUUCUUUUUUAGAAAUAAAUGUAUUUUAAAUGCCCAUUUAGUGAAACAAACUGGCCAAGAGGGUUGGGACAUCAAUCAAAAUGACAAAAGCAGACCCACAUUAUUAAGCUACCACUGAUGGAAAAUGGAAGUGAAGCUUUACUGAGGUAGAGGCUUGAGGCACAUUUUGAUGGUGGAAGCAUGCCGCAGCAGUUCACGUGGGUAGUGACCCACAAGCUCUAUCCCUCAUCAGAAAACAAGUAAAGGCAUCUCUUCUCCUCUAUACCCUAGAUUUGGGCAUGUGCCCUAAAUCAGGAAUGAAAAAGAAAAAUGAAGGCGUGGCCGCAUAUAGCAAGCCUUUGUCUUUCUCUAUGAUUGGUAUAUAUAAAUGUAAGGUUUCAUAAUGUAGGCUGUCUCUGUUUACAAACUCAGAGCCUCUGGUUGCUUUCCUUCUACUUUCUGUGCUGUGUAAUAGAGUUACCUGAUUUGGGUACUGCUGUGCCUCUGGUCAUCAUCUUCUCCAUGUACACUGUUGUGUGCUGUGUGUAUGUAAAAUGAAGGGGAAAAAGGAUAAGGAUGCUUUGUUACCAAGUAAGGAAACAUCAAAAGUGGCGAUCUUUUUGGUGAUUUAUUGGAUGAGAAUUCAGAAUUGAAAAAAGAAAACGUGGCAUGAGGGGUUUGGGGACAUGAUCCUAUUUUUGUGGUACAUUUUGGCUAUUGUCAGAUAAUGGAAUGUGGGUCCCUUUCCUUAGACAUGUAGGAGAAAGUGAACCGAAUACUUCUAUUUUUUGGAAAGGGUAAACUAUAUGACUUUCCCUUCCCUUUGGUGUAACUCUAUUUUUUGAAAAUUACUCUUAACCUUUUUUUAGGUAUUUGUCAUGUAAUAUGACCACCCCCCCAUGGUGAUGGGCUUGAUGUCAUUAUCUAAUAUUUUUAAAAUGACGGAAUUGCCCUUCAUGUUCACACACUACAUAUGAAAUGUUCUAAGAGGAAAAAGUGGUAGGCCCUUCUUGUUCCUUAAAUGUAUUUAUUGUAAUACCAAAACCCUGGAAAUAAAAAAUGUGUUAAGAGUUGAGAUUUUGAAAUAAAAAAUGCCAAUAUGGGAGGAAAGUUGGAGUGAAGAGGUUUAGAGUUGACUCCCAAUUCCUUUGCUAUGCAACAGGGGCUGUUAUUACUUUUCGUGCUACCGCCAAGCGUGGACUAUGGUGUUGCCGACGAAGAAAGUAACUGAAUUGGUGGGGAGAAUUGUGAUGUGAUGCAAGAGAUUAAGACUUUAAAAUGAAACUACAACUACCCCAAGUGGGUGGACAUUGGAAUGAUUGUAUUGUUUACUAUGACUUAUAUAUUGCUCUAUGUUCUCAUCUUGGCUUUAAAGAGCUAAUAUAUUUGGUUUGACCUAUUUAUACUGCAUUCUAACUUGUUCAAUCGAUGUGUAUUUAUGUUAAUUAAACUGAAUUGGGUGGGUGAAGUUAGAAGUUGGAAGGAGGGCAGGUGUACCUUAUGAUAAUUGUAUGUCAACGACUCUAUGAAUUUGAUUAGAUUUUUAAAGGAUUUUUUCAAAAGUUAGAAAAAGGAGAAUCAUGAAUAGAUAUUGAGCUUGAACAAUUACGAGAAGUCUUGCUAAAUAAACCUAAGUAAUUCCCUAAAAAGAAGGGGAGAGGGAGGAUGAAUUGGGUGAUAAUAUGUUUUUAAAACUUUUUACCAAAUUUUAACACAAUUAAUAAGCAUAUGUAAAUAAAGAAAGGGAGAUUGCAAAUAAAGUGAAUUUAUUAUGGUUCAACACCGAGCCUACGUCCAUGUCCUCUAAGUCCUCCACAAGCCCUGAAGUAUUCCAUUAUUUCAAAUGUCUAUUCAACCAAGGCUCUCUUUAUUUGUUCUUAUACUUUUAGUUACAAUAAAGUUUUACAACUUCAAGAUAUUAUCUGCACACCUUUCUUGCCAUCUCACUAAUUUAUAAUUGAGAAAAAAAAAAAAUAAUGAACAUUCUCAUAAAGACUAUAUAGGCAAUUUUAAUGCUCAAGUAUGAGUGCUUUAAACGAGGGUUGGCAAAUGUAAGUUCAAUGUGGUCUGCACAUCUUACAAAAAUUUCUUUAAUUGGAGUAUAAAUUAUUUGCAAAUGUUAGUCGGAUACUUGAUCUAAGCCACUGCAUUUAUUAAUAAAAACUUGUUCAUUAUUUGCUCGAUCUUUAAUUUCAUAGAACAUGAAAUUUGUAUACAAAUUUUAAGCAUGCCUAAUGGGACACUUUUGCCUUUCAUUUUUUAUUUUAUUUUAUUUUAUUGAAGUUUCUAUUUUCAUCCCAAGUCAAGUUAAUAGCUUUAAGGAAGAACCAAGUUGCAUGCGCAUAUAAAGAAAAUGCUAAGACUAUCAUUACCCAGCGUCACAUGCAAAAUACUUCUAUUGGUCUAAUAACCCAUAGCAAUGUAAAAGCAAUAAUAGUUAUUUUACCUUCAAACCAACAUGUGUUGGUGAAUGCUCAUUCAUUAAUACUUGCCAAAAUGCACAAUAAACAUAAACCAAUCAUUACUCUAGCCUCUCUAGGGGUAAGGAAACAAGUUUCUCUUAAUAUAGGAAAACAUCCAUUAUCAUUGAAUGAUUCAAAGGGUAAAUCCCCUCAUUACAUUUUGGAUGCCAAGUCAAGCAUAGACUCAAAUUCUAACUAAUCAACUAGAAUAAGGAUAUGUGAAACUUUUUCAAGUGUUCAGAUACUUUUACCCACUUAGUGGUUAUGUUGGUCAUGGUAAUUGAUGUUGCCUCAAUAGAACAACAAUUAAAUGAGAUGACUCAGACUAUUGUUAUACUCAAUAAACCAUUGAAAAUUCACAAAUUGAUUCCUUUAUGAGUGGGUUGGAGGAGGAACAUGUUGGUUACUUGAGUCAAGAAACCACCACACCUUUCGGAUUUUAUUCCUUAGGAGGAUACAUCUGAUGAAUCUGUGUUAGCACAAGGUAAAAAAUAAGCCCAUGAGCUUGCUUUAAUAAUUUUGUUAUUUGUUCAACAAUAAGAAGACAUGAUAACAAACACAAUUAGAAUCCAGUAUGGAGGUCCAUCACAGAGUACAUUGAUGCAUUCAAAGACUUCUAGUAGGACGAUUGACAACCUAUGAAUGGUUGUGGGUUAUCAAUCUUGAGGAAUGUAAUGAGAUAGUGAAGGUCACAAAAUUAUUAUUAUCCUCACUUUCACUUGAGCUCAUGGAUUCAUUAUCAUUGGACUCGUAAUCACUCCCAUUUACUUACAUUACUUUCGUAGUCUUUUUGGCAGUAGGGCAAUUUGUAGCAAAAUAUCAUUUCCCUCCAUACACUCAACUUGAGAGGAUUUAGAUGAGUAUUUUUCUUGGAGAAAGAGUUCUUCUCUUUCUUUGAAUUAUCUUUUAUGUUUGCCUCCUUUUGUAAGUUCCUAAUAGUUUAAAUUUUUUUUUUUAUAAACAUAGAAAUUUUAGAUUAAGAUCGACUUGCUGACUCAUUCUCAGACUCAACUUUUUCUUUUGAGGAGGCUUUUAGAGCUUUCUCUUUGGGUAAGUUCGUAAAUGAUAAAGUCAUCUCAUAGGUCUAUAAAGAAUAUACAAUUUCAUUUACUCUAAUGAAAGUCACAUUUUUACUUAUCUCUGUUGCGAUCGCUUUAGGUCUAGAUUUCUCAAGAAGGGAUCUCAAAUUUUUUUUUUGACCACUUUUAAGUCAAAGAUUCUUUCUUCUAGGUUGAAACAUGAAUUAAUAUUAAUGUCACUAAGUUCAAUAUAGAACUCAAAGAAGGUCUCAUUAUCUUUCAUCAUAAUGUUUUCAAACUUAAUAGUUAACAUUUGGAGUUUAGACAACUGCACAUUAGAAGUGUCCUCAUGAGUUACUACUAAGAUAUCCCAAGCCUUUUUAGUGUAUAUGCAAGUUGCAAUCUUGCUAAUUUCAUUAGGACUUAUACCAUUGAAAAUACAACAAAGGGUUUUGGCAUUCAUCUUACUUCUUAUAUUGUAUAGUUUAUCCCAUUUUUCCUUAGGCUUUAUUUCAUUACAUAUUCUUUCUCCUUACAUUUUCAAGAAUAGUUCCAUCCUAACUUUUUAGUGGGAGUAGUUAUAUCCAUCAAAGAAUGGAGGACAGUUAAUCGAAGUACCCACUCUUUAUGAUUUAUUAAUCAAGACAGGAAAGAUUCGAUAGAAAUUUGAUUUUUCAAAAAUAACUUGUUUUGAUACUAUUUGAACGAAUUUUGUCCUAAUAUAUGAAACUACCUAGAGAAAGUUGGGUGGGGGGGUGUUGUUGAAUAGAUGGUCCAUAGUCUAAUAAAUUAUCUCCAACAUUAAAAUAUUUUAUUUUAAUUAUUCAGUUAUCAUCAAGAUAUCAUUGAUCUCAUGCAUAAGAUUUCCAACCACACAAUAAAACACAUGAUUUGACAAGGAAAAACCACCUAGUGAACCCCUAGAUGUAAAAAAUCAUAGUUAUUUUCUUGAUCGCAAAAUAAUAUACUAAUUAUAAUAAAAAUGUACAUAAAAUUACUUGAUUGAAUGUGCUUACUCCCUAUGGUCUUAUAUCGGCAAAACCUAGACUUUUCUUCCACAUCCUUAACAUAGUUCUUAUGCUUAAUGGAUCCCUUGAAGCUUUUAUUGAAGUUUGAUGUAGUGUGAAUCUUAGACCUUUGUUCAACUAAUAGGUAUGUUAUAGCUAGUAAGUACUUUCAAGAAAAUUCUUGAAAGCUUUGGGAGAUAGAUUGGGUUCAAAAUGUUAAUAAAAUAAUCCUUUCUAUACUUGAAAAAACCCUUGGGCUAAUUUUGGAAGACAGUUAUAUCUUCUAUUUUACCAAAUUACCCUUAAAAAUAUGAGGUUGGAAAGAAAUUAAAAUUAAAAGUCAACUAGCAUUUGAACACCCUACAAGGAGCAUUUGAAUAUUGGAUUGGAACUUUGAACAUCCUUUUGGAUGUAUGAAAGCUCCUUAUGAGGUGUUUAACUGUUCCAACUAAAUAAACCUAAUUCUGACUUUGUUUUUUAUGUAUCUUCUCCACAAUACAUAUGUAGAAAUCAUAUUAUAGCCAAUCCAUAAGUUUUAACAACAUCAAAUGUAUGCAUGCCUCAAAUAACAUUGACAUUGAGACAGUCUAGAGUCGAUUCAUAGUUAUAAGACCUAAGAAAGUGUUGGAAUAGCUUUAGAAAGUAAGAAAUUAUGAAACAAUCAUAAAUAAAGUUGAUUUGUUUUUAUUCAAUUUUAUCAUGCACAUAUUUGUGGAUGUGUUCAUUUAUACAUUGUCCUUAUGAGUGUUCAACCCAAUCAAGCCCAUUGUACAUUGUUUAGGUGUUUGUGGAUAAACAAAUGACAUAACCAUGAGAUCUUUAUGGCUCGAUAAGUGUGUUCACAAUAAUUCACGAGUUUGGGCAACUUAGUUGUGGCUAUAGUACAUCACCUUCGUAAUUUAUGGCAUGAUUUGUAUUGGCAUUGGAGUGAGACUUCAAGGUGGAUGUGCUAGUGUGUAUGUGUUGCAUAUUGAACAAAACCCGUGGAGAUUCAUGGCAAGUUUGCAUUUGAUUAGACAUGCAAUAUCUUCAAGCUACUAUUGCAAGUGCUCUUUGAGUCACAAAAUAGUGAGACCUUAAAGUGAUCAUAUAUUAUCAUGAUCUUGAGUGAUCAUUCAUUCAACAUAUAGUGAGAUAAACACUCAAUAGAAUGAUAUCCCAUUAGGGACAACCAUACCCUUGUUGAGUAGUCCUAAGGUGAAUGAUCAAGUUCAACCAUUAGCCAAGGUAAUUACAUAAAAUUGGAAUUUGAUAUUUUAUCCCAUCCGAAAAGGAAACAUCAAGUGAUCAUUGAAAAAGUGGAUUUGUAACUCAAUAGAAUCAAAAUAUAAUUUAAUUGGUUGAUUACAAAUUCCAAUUAAAUUAUGGAUAUCAAUUCAAGAGUAACAUAUGCAAUGAAAUAAUAAGUCAUGGACCAAACAUACUAUCAAUUAAUUAAUUGCUUCAUGUAAUUUACAUAAAAUGUUAAGAGUGUAAUUAAUCUUCUAUAGGGCAGUAAAAAUUAAUUAUAAGAUUAUGUUUGAUGGGAGCUAAUUAUUUUAAGGGUCCUAAUGCUCCCCACUCAAGUUAUUAGUAAUAUGUGCACAUCUAUUUGAUUGAGCAUUAGAAGGCUAGGGUGCAUCAAGUGGUCUUGGGUGCCCCAUGGGGGCUAAGGCUAAGACUAGGCUCAUCAAGAGUAAGGUGGUAAAUUUAACAUAACCACAAGGUCUACAUAAAGCACUUCAGUGUUUCAUUGGAAGACAACUUAUAUUCUUGAAGCCCUAGUAGCUGCCAUCCCUAUUCUCUCGUUCUCCCAUUUUGCUCAAAAUUGAUUGCCCACACAAUCAAGAUGCGCUAGCCCAAUAGGAUAUACAUUUUGGGUUGAUAUUAUGAAGGCUGCUUUAAUGCCCCUUAUAUAUUGAUCUAACAAUUGGUAUCGGAGCAUAUUUAAUGUCCCUUAUAUAUAGAUCUAGCAAUUGAUAUCAGAGCAUGCUAGAUGUAAAUAGAUUUAUGUCCAUGCUACCGUUUGUUUUGUAGAAUUAACUUUUCUUAUGAUCGAUUCUUCAAGGUUUAAGCUUUUGAAAUUUUAGAUUGAUGUAAGCUCCUUAGGAGAGCCUAGGAAUCUAUGGGCUAUAAAAGUUUUUUUUCUUUCUUUUUCAUGGAUUGGUUGUAAGCUCGUAAUAGGAGCUACGCCUCUUGAAAACAGUAAUUCUGUUCAUAGGUUUUUUCUUUUCUAUGUAAAAAAAUCUGGUUUUUGCCAUCAUCUAUGGAGGAUCAAUCAAAGAUCAAAGGUAGCUUGAUCCAUGGAGAGAAAAGAUCAGAUCUUGAUGUAUUUUUGAAGCCUUUAAUGGAACAUCAAUGGUGAAGGAACUGUUGGAGGAUCAUCCAUGGAGGAAAAUUCGAAGCCUUGGAGGAUUUUUCAGCAAGAAUGCAUCAUGGACGACAGCUAAACAUGUUGGAGUGCAGCCUGGAUAGCAAGGUGCGUGAGAUGCAGCCUCAUGGCCGGGCCAUGCAUGCUGGCAGCACGUACCAAGGCUGGAACAGCGCACCAGCAACCCUUGGGCUGCCAUGUGUGUGACCCAUGCACUGCUGGUUUGUGCGUGGGAGUAUGGGCUGAAUCUUGGGCUGAUUUCGGUUUAAAUUUUGGGUUGUAUUCAGGACUAUUUUUUUGCUGAAAAAGGGCUGGUUGAAUUUGCUAUUUUUGGUGCUGAAAAUUUCAAGAAAUUUUCCUUCCUGAACUUUCAGUGCAAUCUAAUACAAUCUGGGUAGCAGCUGGUUGGGCAUGAAAUUGGCAUGUUUUUUUUUUUUUUUUUCUCUUCUCAAAAAGAUUGCUAAAUAAUGGCUAGAAAGCGACCAAAAGAUGGAGGAUAUUUGGACGCUUCAUGGAAUUUGAAUCCUAGACGGGAAGAAUUCAUGUUUCCUUCUAUAUUUGGACUCCUUGGCCACGGGAAAUUUAUAUCUUGCUUUAUUAUUAUUAUGGUUGCUUUCCAUAAUUAAGAUUGCAUUGUUAUUUAAUUUAGUUAAAAGAUUUUCAAUUUGGAAAGGUUUAAUGAAUAAGGCAUGGUAGUAGAAACUUGUUUUGUUGAAAGAUUUUAUAGAGGGUGAAAGCCAUAAGUUAAAUUUUAGAAAAUUUUGAAGAUUACAUCAUGCCAUAAAAAUUGGGAUUUAAAAUUUAAAAUUUGCCUAUGGACUAGGAUGAAAAUUAUUCUUUUAUAAUCUAUGGAAAUAUAUAUGUAAUUAGUCUCUUUUUUGGAAACAAGGAUUUCUACAAUAUUUGACUUCCCAUAUUGGCAUGAUGUGGUUUCUUUGUGUUUUCAAAUGGUAAUUGAGAGAGAAAAUUUCUAAGUUUGAUUUCCAAGAUUCAAUAGAAAAGAUUACCAUGAAAGGAAUAAUUUAUUGCAUAAGAUAAAGGAAAGCUCUACCACAUGACACCAGGACAGCCAAGCCACAUACCCAUGCACUUGAUGAGUUGGGUUCUCCACCGUAUGAUCAACUACAUCUUUACUCCCUGGGAAGGACAUCGGGAUGAGGUCUCCUACUAUGGGACAUUUUUUAUUGAUUCCAUCGUGACCGACACGAGGUUCCAUCAUGAUCAACUACAAUUUUAGCAGCAUAUGAUGAGGUCUCCUACAUCUUUUGAUGUUUUCUUACGAGGAUUUUUAAGGAAUUUGAGGUCAAACUAAAUGGGAAAAAGGAUAUUCAGAUUCCUACCAUUUAUGACACCUAUAAUCUUAAAUCCAUGGAUAGGAUGCAUCUUAAGAAGUUUUCCAAGUAAGAGGAGGAUGAGAUCAGAGAGAUGGAGGGUAGGGAGAUCCCUCAGGGUCAGGAGUUGGAGGCUACAAUUGCAGAGGAGCCUCUCUUUACUGAGUAUCCAGAUAUACCCUUCCAAACUUCCCAACCUGAGUAGACCAUCCCUGCUGGAGAGACCUUCACUAAGCCUGCAUUUACCAAGGUGCCUCUACCUCCAGCAACGAAGUUCACUGCUACACAUGAGUCUCCUCAAGUUAAGCAGCAAUAUUGGAUGAAUCUUUUUGAAAAAAUUAGUUCUCUUGGUACACAGAUUGAGAAGCUCGUCUUGAUUAGUGAUCACCAAUUCUACUCCAUCGAGGAUCAUAUGGACCGGUAUUAGGCAAACUUCACUACCCAAAUUGAGCAGCUUCAAAGGAGCUUCACUACUCAAUUCAAGCAUCUUUAGAUGAGUUUUGCCGCCUAGUUUGAUCAAUAUCAAGCCGCCACCGCAACCUAUCAUGCGGAGAUGAUGGCAUAUCUUGGUUUAGUGUUUCCAUCUAUACCUCCCCAGCCUUAAGUGUCAUACUAUGUUUUCCCUCCUUCCUUUUGAAGCUGACAAAGAGGGAGAUAUAUUUUUAUAGGCAUAUCUACGAAGUUAGGAGCAUUUAUCAUUUUGAUAGGAGUGUUUCCAUGUUAUGGUUGUUUUUUUCAUUGACAAUCACUUUCUUAUGAUUUUCAUAGAUAUUUUGGACGUUCACAUCCUUAGCACUUAUGUUUAGUUAUUAAAUGAUUAUUGGUUGGAUGCUUUGGAUAUUCUACAACUCUUUUGGUUCUUCCAUUUAUUUUUACAUGCUUGUUGAGCUUUGUUUAGUUGAUUUUUCUUUGCAUAUAUUGAGGGGGAGUCUUUUCCAAAGAUAACCUGGUUUUCUCGUUAUCAAAUAGGGAGAAAUUCUUGGCCUAAGGGUUCUUGUAGUCAAGUUUUGAUGAUUAGAAAACAAGGUUAAGUUAUCUAAUAGCCUAAAUCAAGUGAAGUUUUCAAGAUUAAAUGAAAAAUUCUAAAGAUUUGGAUUUCUUGAAGACUUAAAGUACUCUAGGAAAAAUUUUAAAAUGGUAUUUGUUUGUGCACUUAGGUCUAAAACUUUUCGCAUGUACUUAAAAAGUCAAUUUUCAUCCUCACUUAACUUUAAAAACGAUGGUUUGACCAUAUAUUUGGAUGAAUCCUUACUUUAAUUUAAAACCUUAAGCUAAAUUCUUUCAAACCUUAAGAAGAGUUAUACACAUUACUGCAAGGUUUAAACCUCAUACCAAAAGUUUCAUAACCUUGUAGAUGCAACCAAUUGAGGGUAACCUAAACUGAUUAGGGAACAUGCUAAAUUGGUUAGGGAGUUAGCUCAAUCGGUUGGGCUUGACCAGUUGAUGGAUGGUUGCUAGUGCACAAAAUUCUUCUCUCUUCUAGUAGCACAUGUAUAGUCGAUUAAGAUUUUAUCUUGACCGAUCGAGUGAGCCUUAGAAACCCCAACGGUGACCCAUAAAACAUUUAAUGCCCAAUGCCUAGUCAACUAGUUAAAUCAUUAACAUGACUAAUCAAGGGUGUUGUGUGUUUUUUUGGGUGCCCAAGCCCAUUUUCUAUCAAUUGAGGAGCUUAACCGCAUCUAUUGAUAAGAGAACAACAUUCAAUUGAAACUUUUUUUUUUCUCACAUUCAAAUUAAGCUCUUCGGUUAAAGUGCAUUGAAUUCUCACUUGUACAUUUUUUCGUGCACCUUAAAAUCCGUCAUAGCUUUCCCUUAUAUUGUGAGUUAUAUUUGUUCUAAACCCUGUUUUCAUGGUUUAGGUUGUUCCCAUUUCGCUCAUCACUACUAUGGGAAUCGCUUUUGCUUUCUUUUCCUUUGGCUACUAAGAUGUUUUAGUUCGCCAGAUUGUCUCUUGCCUGCCUAUGGAUUCAACAACAAUUCGAAAGGUUGACCUAUUCGGGAAUCUCUGGAUCUAUGCUUAUUUUUAACUCCCCGAAGUAUUUAGUUACUUACUACACCUUUCAUCGUCUAUGGGUGCCUAGGCAUCCACCACUAUAAGCCUUUCCUUGUUUGAACCUCACUCUUAACUUUAAUUUAAGGCUAUGCCAUCCUAAGGUGUUGCUAAAUGGGAGGAUCUUAUCAACGUCCAUGAAGAUAAAUCAUAGAUCGAAUUGUCGAAUUGGAAAAAUUGGGUGCUAUUAUAUAACUUUGUAUCGACUAAGUUCAUGAGUUGGAGAUAAGCGGACUCGAACUGUUGACAUUUGCUAAAGGGUAAACCACCACCUCUUAGGCCCCCCGACUGAUUCUACUAUAGAGACCAACGAUAGACAAUAACUUAUCCCCGAACACAGCUUACAACUUUCAUCAUACUGUGCUUUCCAAAGAGCAACUCUUCUCAAAAUCUCAAAAGGUGUUGAGUUGGAAUCCCACGAUUGGAAGCAUUAAAACCUUCUUAUUUAUUUAUUUUGAGUGAAGAUACUUCAACUAGGUGAAAUACUUAAGAGAUUUUAGUGCCCAUUAGAACCGACGAAUCAAAUUAUAAAGCUUGAAAGCUUGUGUUGAAAUCCUUAAUAGUAAAACCCUCACUUGGUUUGGAGUUUGAGGAAAGUGGGUGUAAAUAGAUUGUCAAACCCAUAUAAAAAGAGUUUGCACAUUUCUUCUCACUAUAUUUUAUUUUAUAAUUAUUUUGCUUGUUAGUUACUUGUGUUUUACAUUUGGUUAAAUAUUUUUUAAAAUUUUUUAACACCCAAUACCUUUUCCCUUUUAAGUGAUUUUCUUAAUCUAAUUAGUCACUUUUCAUAGGUAAAAUUCAAUUAAUCAAUUUAUCAAGUUUGUGAUCUACUAUCCACUAAAUACGAAAUCUUCAUGAGCUAGUGUUUGUAAUCUAAUGAGGUAGAUGCUAUAUCAACCUCUCAAAAUUACCUAUACAAUCCUUGAGUCUGUAGGGAAACACUAGAUCACUUUGUUUUCUAAGUCUGGAUCAGGUUAGAAACAUGUAAAAUUAUCCUAGGGCUUUUUAAAUCCUAUGCACAACAGAAAAAUUGCAUUUUUAAUACAAUAAUAAGUUAAGAAUGUGCAUACAUUGGAUUUGGAUGUUCCUAAAUCGAUUCCUUUCAAUGAAAAGUAAAUUCAUAGUCGUAGGGAGUCUCAUAAACCCCAAGUCUUUUACUUGAUGACUUGAACUACGUCUUUGGCACACUUCUGAUGGGAAGGAAGAGGGGCUAAAGGCUAUGACUCUCUCUCACUUUUUCUCUAUCUUUCUCUUUCUAGAGGUGGAAGACAACUUUAAAGAAAAGCUAUGGAAACCUUAACCCUUAAGAAGGUAUUGAUUGGGUCCUUAUUAGGCUUAAGUAACUUGAGCCAACUAAGAGUUUGAGUCACUUAAUUUAGCCUAAAAUGGGUCAUAAUUGAUUAAUUAACCUAAUAAGGCUUACUAAUUAAUCUAAUAUGAAGACUCUAUUCACUUACCUCAAUGUAACUUUGUGCAAUUACCAUUGUACUUUUAAAAACCAGACUAGACCGACACCCUUUCCGGACCGGUGAAAUGGAUCAAAGACAGGUUGAAUCGACGGUCAUACCAUCGAACCGGAUGAACCGUCCAAUUCUUCAUGGAUUGGUCAAGGUCAAAACUUAAAUGGGCAAGUCAUUCAUUCCAAGCUCGUUUGCUUGUUCCUAAGGUCUGUAGGUAUAAAUAGUAAAUACCCAUCUAUUUCAAGCCCAUUUGCUUGCUCCCAAGGUGUAUAAAUACCACACAAGUGGUUUAUAGAUUCAUGGUGGGGAAUUGAACUUAGGACUUAUGGUUAGCAAAAUGAGUAGUACACCACUAUGCUAUAGAUAUGUUUGAUUAAUAAUUUGGUAAAUAUCUAUAUAUUUGUUUUUAAAAUUUUUAUUAUAUAAAACAUUUAAAAAAAUAUAAAUAUUUAUAUAUACUAUUAUUUUUAUAAUAAUUAUUAAUUAUAAACAUGAAAAUAAUAUAAAUUAAUCAAUAUAAUAAUUUUUAAAAUUUUAGAAUAACAAAAUACAUAGAUAUAUAAUUAAAUUAAAUAUUAUAAUUUUCUUUUCAUUUUAAAUAUAUUUUCAUAUAUAAAUACUAUACAUAUUCUAUUUAAUAAAUGUAAUAUAUUAAUACAUUUAUAUUUAUAUUUAUCAUUUAAUUUGACAUAUUGAACAUAAAAAAAUAAAAUAUUAUUAAAUAUUUUAAUAUAUAUAUAUAUAUAUAUAUAUAUAUAUAUAUAUAUAUAUAUAUAUAUAUAUAUAUAUAUAUAUAUAUUAAUUUCUUAUGGUUAUUUUUAAUUUUAUUAAAAUAUAAAAUAUAUAUUUAUGAUGUCAUUGUUCGACCACCGAUUCGACAAGUGAAUUGUGAACACGUAACCUUUUUAGUUCAAUGUUUGGUCUGGUUCUGAAAACAUUGAUAAUUACCAAAAUACUCUUAUGUAUAAAAGGGAACCUAGAGUCGAUCUAACCCUCAUAACUCAUGUCAUCAUGGCAUAUGAACCUAGAGGGAGGACCAUUGGGAUCUGUAGGAGUAUUGACUCCAUUAGAAUCCAAUUUUAAAGUUGAUUCAACAUUCUACUAUAGAGAAUCAACUGCACUCCAAUAUCCUAUGUUAAAAACAACGAAACAUUAUGUGCUGGGGUCCGUGACCUACUAUCCAUUGCAUUCAGUCUCCCCAUGAACUGAUAUUCUUAGUUUAACAAGGUGAAAACUAUCAACCUUUCAAGAAUACAUUUACUAUCCUUGAGUUAUAAAUCCUCCUAUUAUGUAUUUAGCUGACAUGUUUUAGUUCUCAAAGAGUUAAUGUCAAGUUUCACUUAAGGAACUACUAUGAUAAUAAUUUACAUGAACACAUCUCCUUAGGAUUACUCAAGAGGACACUUUGUUUCAAUAUCAUGAAAUAUCAUGGUGCCUCUAUUAAAAAUACAUAUUGUUACCAAAUUCCACAAUAAUGUCUUAAUCCAUAAGGAAUAUAUGAUUAGCUUAUGAUCUCACCUAUAGGUUAAAGUCGUUGCUAGCUUUACCACAAACUCAAUAUUCUCUCAAGGUUGAGAGAUAACAUAAUGAAGUAGUUUGGUGAAGUCAUGAUUACUUGAUAGCCUUAAGUUAUAACUUAACGUAAGUCCUAUCUAAUUUCUAACCAUACACACUAGUGCGCUCACCAUGGGAAACUCGUUUUAAUAGCCAAGACCAAUCAUCUCUCCACUUAAGAGGUGGUGCAUUGCAAUCUCUAAUGGAUUGCCUAAGUCCACGAACCGGUUAUGAACUAGUUAUCUACUUGCAAGAAACCUAUGAUUUGGAUCUUUUAUGCAACUCCUGAUGCACUCAAGUCACAUACAAGACAAAAGACAUAGACAAAAAUGCAUGAAAAUAAGAUAGAUAAAAAUAAACUGAAAUUUUAUUAAUAAAUAAUAAAUCCAAAAGCUUUAUAACAUCAUAUCAUGCUUUUAAGGGCUUUAUCUUAAUAGAAUCUCAAAUCCUCCUAUUUUGUGACCAACUAAUAUAAUUUAGUUCUUAAUGAAUAUAUGUCAGAUUUCACUUAAAGGAUUACUACAACAAAAAAUUACAGAUCACAAGUCCUUAGAAUCACUCAAGGGGACACAAUGUCUCAAUUCCAUGAGAUAUCAAGAUGCAUAUUUUGAGAAUAUUUGUUGUCACAUGCCUUAAUCAAUAAUAAUUUAAUUUGUAAGAAAUAUAUGACCACCUUAGGAUCUCAUACAUAGGUCAAAGUCAUUAAAGACUUUAGCACUAACUUAGUACUCUCAAGGUUGAGGGCCCAUGCAACAUAGUAGCUUGGUAAAUCACAACUACCUAAUAGUUAAUGCUAUGAUCCAUCAUUGUCCAAUGUGUAACCACAUAAACUAAUGCACUCAUCAUAGGAAACUAUUCUCAUGACCAAGACAAGUUAUCCGUCCAAUCAAUUAGAAGGUAAUACACCAUAGUCUUAGAUGAAUUACCCAAUUCCUUAAAUCGAUUAUAAACAACUUAUCAUCUUGCAAUGAACUUAUUACUGAAAUCUUCUGUGCAAUUCCUAAAAUAUCGAAAUCAUGUAUAAUGCAAGUGAUAUAAGCAUAAAAGCUAAGAUAAUAAAUAAUACAUUCAAGGAUAAAAGAAAUACUAGAAAUCAUAACAUAUAAUUAAUCAAGUCUUAUUCUAUUAUACCAUUGAGAAAAUAAAGGCUAUUCUUAAUUAAGAAAAACACCAAAAAGGGGGGGGUGUGAAUUAAGUUUUUAAAAUCUUUUCAAUCACAACCAAUUCAAGCACAAUAUAAGAAAAAUAAAGAGAUAGAGUUAGAGAAUUCAAACUCGGGUUUUAUAGUGGUUCGACACUUCCUUGCCUACGUCCACUCUCCUCAAUCUCCUAACCGAGUGAGGGUUCCACUAACUUGAAGUUUCAACCAAGCUUCCAAUCUUCUUACACUUGGAUUCCGGCUCCAAUGGGCUCUUACACAAUCUCUUCAAGAUUCAAACCUCUUGAAGACUUUAACACUCAGAUUUUACAAGAAAGAAUCCCUCAACCUAGCUUAAGGAUAGCUCAAAUACAAGACAAAACUAGAAUGACAUACAAGAGUGCACUAAAUGAUAUGCAAGUGAUGAUUUAAUACACUAAGAAAAAAAUGAGAGCUUUUUGGUCAAGAACAAGUAGGUAGACAAUUGAUUGCAAGUGUUCUCUUAUCAAUAAAUGAAGUGGAGCUUUCAAUUUGUAGGUUCCUAAGCUCGGGAGUUAAAAACAGCAAAAGGUAACCUCGACCGGUUAAGCUAGGGGUCGACUAGUUCACUAGCUGUUGGAACAUUUAAUACUUGAUAGGUUACCAUUGCUUUGACUGGUCCUCGACCGGACCUCGAUCGGGAAGAGAAGGUCAUUGGGAGAGAGAGAAAAUUUUUGUGCAUCCCUCGACUGGUCUUCGAUCGGACGAGGGCAACCAGUCGACCGGUUCCUUAACCGGUUGGCCAUAGCUUCGACGGGUUGAGCCUUUUGGCCUCGAAAACCUAUCUUUUUCAAUUCCUUUCUUUUCUAACACUAAGGCAAGGUCUUUAGGUGAAUUAUUAAGCCAAUUAUAAAACAUUUUGCCUGAGGUACAUUUGUUAAAAACUCGGGUUUUAAUGAAAUUGAAGUUUUAAAGAAUUAACCGAGUUUUCUAAGUUGCAUGAAACGUGUGAAAAUCCUAAGUGCACUCAUGCAUUCAUCUUACAUUAGUUUCCUAUGAUCAUAAGUCUUCCAAGCGUCUCGAUCUUGUAUCCAUUUGGUCAUUUGAUGAAUUUUCAAGUUUAUGCCUGAGAUUCUUAACCAUUAAACCAAUUAGUCACUUAAUCAUGGUUUGUUAUCAUUAAAACCCGAUUAGGAGAACCCUUGGGCUAACAACCAUGUUAUGCUUUCAUGGACUAUAUCCUAAUAGAACCAAGAAGGCUCAUUCAUAGUUUUUGGAUCAGCAAAGUACCUUUGAGAAUUUUGAUUUAGGAUGUUACCUUGAUGAGUUAUAGAAUUGUUGUUUUAGACCAAUGAACUUAAGAUCAAAUAUGUGAUAACAUUUUGUUAAUAUGUGACCUAGUUUGCCACACACUUGAAAAAAUGUUCAUUGUUGAUCUUGGGAUUCUUGCUUUCCUUAUGUUGUAAUUUCUUUGGAAAUUACUUUGCUUUGAUUAUUAUUGUAGUUUGCUUUUUUUAGCUACAUAAUUUGCUGAUGUUGUCAUAUAAAUGGAAACAAUAAUAUUUAAUUGCUCUAAAUGUAGUCUUGACUUUGUAAGAGGAAUUGCACUUGUUGUAAAGAGAUCUGUGAAAUCAUAUUCUGAUCCAAGAUCAACCUUCAAGCAUAUAGAGAGUCAAAUUAUCAUCUAAAAUCAUUUUUCCAAAAGCUAAGAGAGUACCAACUAUGUUUCACAUCUUAAGAAAAUAGUCAUUGAUGUUGAGAGAACCUUUCUUGAGAGAUUGCAACAUAUAAUGAAGUUAUAUGGUUCUUGCUUUGGAUUUUGAGAUGAAAAACCUUUGCAAAUGGAAAAGUUUCAAUGGAUGAGAUCAUAGCAAGGGUAGGAUUAGGUUGAUCGAUUGGAAUUGAUGUUACUCAAGAAGAUAUGAUACCAAGUUGAGAUAUAGAACAAUGUAGAAAAAUCUAAAAGACAUAAUUUAUGUGAAUGACUCAUAAAAAAAUGAAUGAAAGCUUCGGGUCUUUCAUAUAUAAAUAUUGAUUUAUAAAUAUAACAAUCUCUAAUAACAAACUCAUCAAUAAUAUAAUAGACUCAUGUUCUAACUGCAAGCUAACUAUACUUGAUAAUAAUAACGAGGAAUAAAGUGAGAGAGGGAGUACAAAGAUACUCGUUAAAGUGGGACAGCAGUUGGAGAAUAGAAAAUAAUCGUUAAGGAGGCAUUUUCUGAUAGAAUUUAAAGUGCUUAAUCUCUUUUAGAUCCAUUUUCUAAUGGAAUAUAAUGUAUGGAAAACAUUUUUUAAGAAAAGUUUUCAUACCUUAUGAAACGUUUGUUAGGAAAACGUAUUCCAUAAAAUGUUGAAAUGGCUUUGUAGCUAAAUUGGUUGAUUGAAAUCGUUUCCUUUAGAAAUAUCUUUUCGAUUGGGAAAUUUUAAGCUAGGUAAAUGGCUCAAAUUCCGAUACUUUUGUAUAUAUUUUUUAUGGUACUUAUAUAGAUGUCAAAACUCCCUAUCAUCAAGAAGUGAUUCCGUGGCACAAAAAACAGAAUUUCAAUAUUUUCAGAAAAUUUCUUGAAAAAUGCUGUCAAAUAUCAUUCAGUUCUCUAUAAGAAAAUAUUUUCGGGGUCCUUUAAGUUCCGAUUAAAUGGCAAAAGCUACUAAUGCUGCCAUGAAUGAUAAAGGUGAGGCCCAAGAGUUUGGAGAUGCUCCCUUUAAUUAUUAGCUUAAAGGGUUGAGGAUGAUGGAAAAAUAAGAAGAGUAAGAAGACCAAAAAGAUUUAACUACCAUAAAGAAUGCAGAUGAACAAUUAUGGAGGUAAAGUUAAAAUGUUGAUGAAAUUUAAGAGGCAAAAACCACAUUCCUAACAGAAUCAAAGUAAGUCCUGAACUUGAUACUGAUAAUAAUCGAGCUAAACAAUUCAACAGUUAUAUAUAUUGGAAGCACAGUUAAGCAAACAAGCAAAUAUUCUUCAAAAUGGUCCAAAGUGAAAGCAAGUAUCAUAGGUUUCCAGAAUACAAUGAAUUUCUUACAUGCCUUGGCUAAGUGUUCCAGCCCUUGGAGAUUCAGUCAUAGCUGUUAUUUUGCCAUUAAAGGUUACAUAUAUUACUAAUGAAACCACAUACAUAUCAUCACCAUACAAGGGCAUUUACCUGGUAAACAUUUUUCCAAGAGCAAUCAGUCAAGCAAACAAAUGUCAAAACUCAAAGCAUCCACCCAGGGAUAAAUCCAUUGACAUUUUGGGCAUUACUCGGAGCAGAUAGCUGGCUUGAGCCUGCAGGAUUAUAUCUUCAUCCCAUAAAAGAAAACUAAUUCAGCUAUGGUACUAAUAUUAAAAAGAGAAGAUGGAUUUCACCAAGUUAAAUGUUUACCCUAUUUGCAAUGUGGGAUUGCAUUCUAAAGGCUGGAAGAACCCCUGAGACUGAGCUUGCUGGUGGCCGUAUGGCAUACUCUGCUCACCACUUUCCCAUGAUAAUUGAAGGUGAUUUUUGACACUAAUUUCAUCCAGCUUCACAAAUAGAAAUCAAUACAGCAGACGUAAAAAGGUGGGAAACAGAAACAUAUCAGCUAGGGAUUGGAUUUGUUUUAAUAGAAGAAAGAUACCAUGGGUAGAAUCUUUGACAUGCUACCCACAUAAAUCAGUUUGACAAGACUUCAUAUGAAGAAAAAAUUGAACAGAGGAAACAUGUAAAGCAUGCAGACAAACGAACUUCUACUUAUUCAUGCAGCCAAAGGGCAAUGCAACGAGGUUUUGCACAUAUGAUGUAUUACCUUCCUCGUCAAAGCCUUGUUAGAUUCAACCAAAACUUGUUCCUGUGCUUGGCAAUAGCUUGCUAGUAUUAGAAGCAUAUAAAAUCUAUUCAUAGAUGAUUUGAAUUUCCAAAUGUAUGUACCAUCUAACCUUGUUCUGAAGAUCAGAAAGCUGAUCAAGCAUGAAUUGGGUCUGCAGUAGGUAGAUAAAAAAGAGUCAGAAUACUCUCUAAAAGAAUUAUCAUGAGGUCAUCUUACUGAAAAGUUGAUGGAAAAACAAUUUUUAUAGAAGCCAAAUCAUGUUCCAAGAACUAAAGACGAAAUGGGAGAAGUAAUCCCUGAAGUGUCUUACACAGCAUAGUACUGAAGCCUUCAAGGAUAAGCACAAUACACACAAUGUCACUCAUAGUAUUAGAUUACCUUUUAACUAAAUAAACUAGCAAUAUUUAUAAACAAGAUUCUGUGCUACAGAUGUAAAGGUCAACCCUUGUUUCAACCAAAAUACAUGAAUUUCCCUACGCUUACAUUGUUCAUAUUAGAAAGCAUCAAGACUCUAAAAUCUCCUUGAAAUUUUUACAGUUUGAGCAAACAAAAAAGGACAAUUCAGUAUUAUGUCUUGAGCAACCACGUUUAGAUGCCUCCCACACAUUCUGUAAAUUCCCAUAGCACACACAUUGUCUAGAGAUGCUCUAUGAGGGUUUCUAAAGAUGAGAAUUUCUUUAAACAGAAGCUACCCAUGGAUGAUAAAAUUAAAUAUUUUAAUCUUUGGAUUUCUCUUGGCAUCUCUAAAACAUAAUUUGUUAUGUUCAAUGAGAUACCUAUCCAAAACAUUAUUUGAGGAGCAUUUUCCACAAUAACAACUUUGCAGGGUUGUUUAAUUCAUAGUUCUUAUAUGCAAAUUUGGCUUCGCUAAAAACCUGAUUUUGUCAUCACUUUCUUAAACAUAGAAAAUAAUUUAUUUCUGGGCAGAAAAUAAAAAAGAAAAAGGAAAAAGGAAAGGGUACACAUAUAUUUUGAUUUUAAUUGGAGAGGCAGGUUAAGGAUUUUAAGUUCACUUAGCAACUGCUAGUAACUUCUAUAAUGAUUGAUUUAAAUCAUGGGACAUCUAUAACUUGAUUAGACCACAAAAGCAAUCUCAAUCCCAUACAUCACCUCCCCCAAUGGAAAAAGUCACACUCCCUAUUAGUGAAGAAGGAAAAAGGGAUGUAAUCCAAUAACUGAUAUUGAAUCUUCCAAUUUGAAGAUAAAAGGUUUCAAUAUCUAAAACUCAUUCUCCUUCUAAGUGCUGAUUUCCUGCAUUCAAAGUUACCAAAAUCCCUGACCAGCCAGUCGUGAUAUGAGAACCCAAUACUUCAACUAGACUCGGAUAUGGAGGAUUUCUAAAGAAGAAGUUUAGUUUCUCUCAACCAACACAAAGUGCAGACCUACAUUUACAAAAAAUUUAAGACCAACAGUACUAUGAUAGCAUCACAGUUGUCAAUAAUCCUAAUCCCCUUCAAAGAGUUCGAGCCCCACCCAGCCUUCUUUUCUGUUUAGUUUUCAACUUAGGAAGCCUGAAACAUAUGCAUCAUCAGACAAUAAUUUUAUACAUUAUCAACAUAAUACUAAUUCAAAUUAGUAUCACAAUUACUUCAGCACUUAUGGUAAAUACACUCUUUUUUAAAGAAAAAUUGGUUACCUUAGUAGACCUGACUUGCUUCAAGGAUGUCUCAAGUUGACGUUCAAGCUGCUCAAGCUCUUUUGUGUUCAAUGGACCCAAGUCUUCCCCAAGAAGGUUUCUAGAAUAUUCAGGGUCAAAUAUUUCAUGAAUAAAGUCAGGUUGUUGCAUAAGAUAUCUCCGUAAUUGAAUGAAAACAAUUAUCCAACUCAGAAAUUUCAGAAGCAGAAUUCAAAAAAGCCACAACUAAGGUACUUAAUCACCUCUGAGUUCGUUGAAGGGACUCAAACUUAGAUUUCAGUUUCAGGUACUCCCUAUAGCUGCUCUGCUGAAGACAACUAAACUAAAUGAAUAAUCAUAAACCACAGGAGAGUUGAAAUUGGAAUAGAAACAUGGUGCAACUCUGAAACAGAAGGCUAUACAGUCUCAGGCUGUGCAUCAACUUGCACUUGUAAAAGUACCCAUUAUUCUCUCAUAAGUUUUCUUUCAUGCCACAUCUCUUGGAAUGGAAGAGUUGGCAAAAAAUUUUAGUUGAAGAUUAUACCUGCAUAACUGUUUUCAAAUUCUUUGGUGUGCUAAUAAAUUUGUUGCCUUGUAUAGCAGGUACUAAGAGAAAUCAUUCUCAAUUAACAGAAACAACAUAAUAAUUAAACCACCUCAAGCUCCUUGGAGGGUCGGCUGACUUCCACUGCACCAUAACUGCAUUUUUGGUAUCUUUCGAGUGUCUUGAGCAUGCUAACAUAAGAUGAAGGCAAAGGAAAAAAAAGAGAUCCCAUUAUAGAACCGAACAUGAACAUAAAAUAAUGAAACUUGUACUAAAAAAAUUGAAACCUGGUCAUCUUAUAAAUAAACAGCAUACUAUAAUCCAAUCUCCUAAGCUCACUUAAGUCACAAAAUUUCACCAGCUCAAAUAAGCAACACAACGUCUUGGAUUAUCUUACAAACCAAGUAGAAAUCAAUAAAACACUGUCAGUCCACAUUGGUGUGUACAAGGACUGAACUUCAUGUCUGGCAGAUAAUUGCAAGUUUGUCAUAGAACACUGUCCUUGAGUGCAAGGGCAGCCCAUUCUGUGGUCCAAGCCCAGAGAACGUAAUGUGAAGUCAGAAAGUACAGCUAACGAGCUGAUUAAUCACAAAGGAAAAUGUUUCAAUUGUAGGCAUAUUGGCCUCCAAAGGGACACAACAUCAUACAUUUGUCGACUGUCAUUAAGCUGCCAAACUGACAGAAUCAUAGACCAAAUGGUUAAAUACGCAAAUUUUAGGACUGCAACAAGAUAAGGCUGGUUUUUGUUUUAGAGAUCGGCUAAGAAAAGCUUAAGGAGAUGUACUAUUAGUUUCUACAUUCCUGUGUACACAGGUAAGGAAUAAUUACCUCUUUCUACAAAAGAAAAAAUGAAAUACAACAGAAAGGGCAACAAAAACAAAAACACGUCAAAAAAAACUAACAUGGUUUAGGUACCUUCACCUGUGUACAACCUGACUCAUAAAAAAAAGGUUAAAAAUAAUAAAUAAAUGAGAAGUUUAGUGUUUAAUCACACUUUUUUUUUUGUUUCCAAAUGAUCGUUGGUUUCUCUCCUACCAUAAAAUUCAAAAAACCCACAAUGGGGUAGGCAUUCAGACCUUCCAUUUUUUUUCCACAAAAGAACUAUGCACCCUAAAACUGUUUCUCUUACCAAAGUUGUCAUUACCACGCAACCUUAAACAAGGAAAAUACCAAAUUCCAUACCACCCUAACUUUGGUGCAAUGCAAAAGGAUAUGAUCUGAGUAUUCAUCCUUCUUAUAAAGAAAACAUUGGUUCACCAAAUACUAUCCUCUCCUUUGCAACCGAUCAAAAGUCUAAACCUUUCUCCUAGAAGCUUUCUAUGUAAAAGAAAACCCUACUUUGGUCGGCACCAUCAAAUUCCAAAUAACCCUCCUUAGGAACACUUCUGCCCUCCCCACAAAAAUAUAAAAGGAUCUAACAGAAAAUUUACCCUUCCUCGCAUUCAUCCAAUCAUUUAGAUUUCUUGAAAAGCGAAGGUCGCAAAGUCCUCCAUCACCCUAUCAACACCAAACAUCCUCCACCCAAGUAUCUUUUGUCAACGCUAUUGAAAACAAAGUAGAGUGACUCUCUUAGAGUAGAAUCAGCAUACCAUUUAUCUUUCUAAAACUUCACCUUUCUACCAUUGCUCACAAUAAAUGAGUUUAUGCUAUCAAAAUUCCCCCAAUCUCUCUUGACGGCCUUCCACAAUCCCGCAUCAACACUUUUAAGCAGUUAUGUGGUUCUUUUCAUCUCUUAAUUCUUAGGACUUCUUUACUGUAUAAUUUUGAAAAAAAAAAAAAAACCGAAAAUAACUAAAUUACUUGAAAUUGAUAAAUAAGUUACCUGAGGUAAGAAUAACUUGGGUGACAAUUGCAUAUCAGUAUAUGAUACCUUAUCUUAUAUAUUUAAAACAAUUAUUAGACUAGAUCACUUCUUACUGUCUAAAGAAUGAGAAUAAUUUCAGUGAUCUAACAUAGAGUAUUUUUCCAAGACUGGUUUAUUAUCACACUCUCAUUUUAUUAGAUGGGUUUGGGUUGAGGAAAAGUAAAAUGUCUUUUAGGUUCAAAACUAUGUGACUGAAAAAAUAAGGGUUCAAAGACCAAAUUAGAAAUUUAGUAGUUCAUAUAAGUUACAUCUUAGCAACUAAGCUGAAAGCUUUGAAGCGUGAUCUUAAAGCUUAGAAUAGAGAGGUAUUUGGGAAUGUCACUACUAAUAAAAUUGUAGUUUUGAAUCAGAUUGGUUUUUAGGGAAUAAAGGAAAGGGUAACUAUUCAUUUAGACAAGGAGAAUGAGAUCAAAAGGAAGGUAAUGGAGGAGUAUUGCAAUUGGGUAGCAAUGGAAAAAGUCCUAUGGAGAUAAAAAUCAAGAGAAUUAUGACCUAAAGAAGGAAAUAAAAACACAAAGUUCUUCCAUAAAAUAGUCAUUGCUCAUAGAAGAAGGAAUCAUUUGAUUAAAAUCAAGGUAAAUGGUGUAUUGUUGUCUAAGGAUGUAAACAUAAAGAAAGGGGUGGUGAAUGCUUUUCAUAACCUUUUUUCUGAGUCAAAAAGUGAUUGGAGACCAACAUCAAUGAAAUGGUUUUUGAAAAUUGGGUAUGAUGACUUAGGACAUUUGAAGACCCCAUUUUCUGAGGAAGAGAUCCUUUUAACACUCUAGUUUGUAUGUGAAUAAAACCUUAAGAUGGAUGACUUAUCUCUGGUCUCUUGGCAAUUCAAUUAGGACUUCAUCAAUAGUAAAGUGAUGGGCUUUUUUAGGGAGCUCUAUGAGUUUGGGCUCUUAUGAGAGAAGUUUAGAGGGUUUUUUCUUAUAUUUUUAUAAUUUCUAAUUAAUUUUAGGUUCGCUGAUAUUUUUAUAGUGUUAGUCCUAAAAAAAGGGGUAGUAAAGACUUAAAAGGGGGAAAAUAAAUUUGGUGAGUGAUACAAGCUUCUAUAAAAGUCCCAGCAAACAAACUCAAAAAAGUGGUAUCUGCUUUCCAACAUGCGUUAAUGUUAGAUUAACAAAUUUUGGAUAUAGUUCUUAUAACAAAUGAAGCCAUUCACUCUAGGAUGAAAAGCAUCGAUGGUUGGUUCAUAUGAAAGCUAGAUAUUGAGAAGGGUUUUGAUUUUGUCAACUAGGAUUUUUAUUAGCAAUUUCGGAAAAUGUGGGUCUUGGUCAUGAGCCGAUAAGUUGGACAUAGUGGUGUAUCUUUACAACUCAAUUCUUUAUUUUAGUUAAUGGAACCCUAACAAGCUUCUUUCAAAAUAGUAGAGGCUUGAGAAAGGGUAAUCCUUUAUCCCUGUAUAUCAACAUCUCAACCAUGGAAGCACACUUUGCUAUCUAAAAGGCAAAAAGAAGCAGGUUUCAUCACAAAUUUGUUAGUUGGUGAAAGAAAAGGAGAAAGAAUAAAGGUGUCUUAUCUCUUGUUUAUUGAUGAUACUCUUAUUAUUUGUGAUAGCACAAAGGAAUAAAUAGAAUACUUAAGUCAAGCAUUCAUGCGGUUUAAGGCUAUCUUGGGCCUAAAGGUCAAUUCAAAGAAAACUAAGUUGAUUCUUGUUGAGAGGGUUGUCAACUUGGAAGAUUUGUUUAUGGUUUUAGGCUAUAACCUCAAAACUCUCCCCAUCAGAUAUUUGAGACUUAUGUUGGAAGCUGCUUUCAAUUGAACUCGAGUUUGGGAUGUAGUAAAAGAGAGAUUUUAGAAAUGACUUGCUAUAUGAAAAAAAAAAAAAAACAAAUAUCUAUCAAAAGAAGGAAGGUUGACUCUUAAAAAGCAUCCUUUCUAGCUUGCCAAUUUACUUUAUGUCUCUCUUUUUCAUAUGGAGGAAGGUUAGUUUAAGGUUGGAAAAGAUUCAAUGGAAUUGAAGUGGAAUGAGACUUUUCAACUUGAACCCAACCUAAUGUUUGAAAAUUAAAACUUGUCAAUUGGUCAUUGUAGAAUUUGAUUAGCUUAAGUUGUAGGGUAUUGGAAAGUAUCUCAAAUCACUAAUUGGUAUAUGUAACCUUUUGUGUAUGGAUUGAGAUGGAGAUGUAAAGUUCAUAACAAAUAAGGAUGUGAGGAAGAGUAAUAGAUAAUUGGUAGAGCAAAAGCUCAAGGUGUAGCUACAAAGAACGGGAAACAUGAGAUGUUUCAAGGCUUAAUGAUUGCAUUGUCAUUUUUUUUAAUCCUAUAAUUUUUUUUUAUAUACCUUUAUAUGUGGAUUGUUUCAUCCUUGUAUUUUUGCAUUAGUAUAUUAAUUAACAUUAAAACUUCUAUUUGCACAACAAGUUGUAUCAAAGCUUUCAUUAGCACAAUAAAUGACAUUAGAGCAUUAGUUGAGAUUUCUAGAAGAAUAAAAAAGAACAAAACAUAUAAAAGAAUUACAAAAGGAAAUUUGGUUUAAGAUUGAGUCAAUUUUCCCUCAUUGGAAUGUGAUAAAUGAAGCAUGUACUUUAUUAUUUUAUUUUAUUUUUUAUAAAUAAAAGAGAUAAAAUUACAUUGAAAAGAGCCGCCAAAACAAUAACUCAAAGUAUAUAAAGUAGAAACACCUCUCCCUUCCCCAACUAGAACAAAUAGUUGUCAAACACAAAGGAGUAAAAAAAACCUCACCCUUAACGAGAACCCACCCAAUCAAAGAAACCAACUAAAGUCGAAGGACCAUAUUUUAUAAACAAUUUCAUCUCCAACCAGUGAAAGAAAAUAAAAGAACUCUCAAGUCUUUGGAUGGACAACACAUCAUCUUUAAAUACAAUUUUGUUACUUGCCUUUCAAAUCGUCCAAAAAAUACAUAAGGGUCUACUCUCCAAACUUUUUUUUUUUUUUUUCCCACAAAGGACCUGUCCCAGCCCAAAAACGUCACCUUAACUGUGGCUAGCAUCACCCAUUGUACCCCAAAGAGAGAGAAAAACAACACCCAUAAAGUCCUUAUCUUAGUACAAUGGAGGAGGAUGUGAUCUAUCGAUUCUUCAUGCAUUUAGCAGAGGUAGCAUCUAUUCGUUAAAAGUCAUCCUCUUUUCUAAAGUUGGUCCAAAGUAAGAGUUUUUCCCCACAUUGCUUCCCACCUAAAAAAACUCACUUUGGGCACACAAGCUUUCCAAAUAACAUUCGAUGGAAAAGAGACUGGAGGACCUAAAACUAAGGCUUUAUAGAGAGACUUAACGGAAAACUUCCCACAUUUGAUCUUUAUCCAAAGCACCCUAUCUUCCACAUUCCGUUGAACACUCUUUCCAUUGAGGCUCAAUAAAAACCUAUGCACCUCAUCCACCUCCCAAUCAUUGAAAGAUCUAGAUAAUUGUAGGCUCCAACUCUCAUUUCCCUUAGUGGAACCAGUGGAACUCCACACAUAUUUCACCAAGCAUCCUUGGAAAAUGUGCAACCCCACACCAUCUAUCCUUCCAAAAUUUCACCCUUUGACCAUUACCCACCACAAAAGAAAAUCUACCACUUACAACAUGCCACUACUUCCUAAUUGCUUUCCACAACCCCACACCAUACCCAUAUCUCACUUCUUUGGGACACUAACCCCUUUGCUCAUCCCCAUACUUUCCCUUUAUCACUUAAUUCCAAAAGACUCCUCUCUCAUUUGCAAAUCUCCAACUCCAUUUGCACAAAAGCGUCUUAUUUAGAGUAAAGAGAUACUUUAUCCCCAACCCCUCUUUGUUUUUGUCUAAGCAAAGCAACAUCCACCUAACAAGAUGAAGUUUCUGCUCAAGAGUCCCACCUCCCCAUUAAAAAUCCCUCUGAAUCUACUUUAACCUCAAUUUGAUUGUCCUAGGUAAAGAAAACACAAACAUGAAAUAAAUGGGCAAGCUAACCAAAGUGCUUCGAAUCAAGGUGAUCUUCCUUCAUUUGGAGAUGUAUUGUACUUUAUUAUUUGAAAUAAGUAUGUUUGUUUUAUAUGUUUAUUGCAUCUUGAAAAGAGGAAACAGUCAAGUGAAUAAAUAGUUUGAAUACAUGGAGAUCUACUACAAUGCAACUAUGACACAUAAAGAAGCUAUUGUGUAAGGAUUUGGCUAGAAAGUUCCAAAUAGAGUAAAUGUCAUGAUUUCUUUGAUAGUAACAUAUAAGCGAUAGAAUAUUGACUUGAUGAAAUUUGAUCCAAGAUGAGAUUGUUGAAAAAUAUUUCAAAUUCCUAGUCGAUAUAUAUUUCUUUUUUGUAAAGAAUAUUAUAUAGAUUAUUUAUUAUAUUGAUGUGUCAUUAUAAUAUUAUAUUUCCAUAUAAAAUAAAGAAUGGUAUUUGAAAUAUCUCUAUAAAUAUUCUAGGAGAAAAAGUUGUAAGUAUGAAGUUUAUAUUGAGUAGAUAGAGAUAUGAGGAAUAGUAGGAGACAUUUACUAACAGUUUAAGGUGAAAAUACCAGAAGUGGAGAAAUAUGAGAUAUUUUAAACGCUAUGAUUAUAUUUGCAUUUUCUGGUCCUCUAUAAUAUUCUCCAUUGUAUAAUGAAAUAUUUUUUUUUCUCAAUCAUGGAUAUAAGUAUGGUUGGUCAAACCACAUUAAAACCUAAGUACCUUUAUGUGAAGAUUGUUUUAUCUUUAUUUUAUGACAUUAAUAUGAUAGGAUUGAAGCUUCUAUUUGUACAAGUGAUAUCAAAGCUUUUUUUUAACACAACAUUAACUUUAAAGUGCAGUUUCAAGUGUUACUAUGAGUUUUACCCUUCAUUGAUAGAUAUGUUUUUAUCAUAAACAAAAAAUGUAUUAAUUAUAGAUAACAAGUACAUGAAAAGGAUGAGGAGUCCUCUCCACAAUUUCAAAAACAAGAUCAACAUAUGACUAAACUCCAUUAUACAAGGAGACUUGUACAAAAAAGUUUUGGUCAUAUAAGAAUAUACAUAAAUGUCUUCUCUUCAAAAACAAACUAACCUCCUCUCAAUAUUGUCCAAAUGCCAAUUAAGUUGAACAAUAUUAAGAGGAAUGUCUUAAAAGUGUUGGUACAAAAGGCCUAGAAAGAGGGAUAGAAGGUAAAUUGAUCUCACAAAAUCUUUAACAUCCUCUAAUUAUUCUUAAAGAUUCUAUCAUUUCUCUCUAGUACACAAUCCAAAGCAAUAUCAAACAAAUAAUUUGCCAAAAGAUAUUAUCUCUAAUGGAGCUUCUCAAACUCUUAUAUGAAGUAAUUAUCAUGUCACAUAGACUCCUAGAUGGAACCUAAUCCACAUUAGCUUGUUUAAAUAAACUAUACAUAGCCUUAAAGUUAAAAGAUAAUGUAGAAAGAGGUGGUCAAUUAUCUCUUCACUCCCUAUAUAUAAAAUGCAAUAAUCAAGACUAAGGGAUUUGAAAAGUCUUCUCAACUUAUACCAUAUCAUUGGUAUUUACCUUUUAAUGUGUCACUAGUCAAAUGAAGGCCUUGACUUUUUAUGACACUUUAGAUUUCUAUAAAAAUUUGGUUAGGGAGAAAGAAAUUAGAUCUGAUACAUUGGAAAAAAAAAACCCAUGAAAAAUGAUUUUACUAAGAAUAAACCUCAAGAGGAUAAUGAACAAGCUCUUGCUUGAAGAUAAGUAUAGCACAUGAGUGAGAGAGAAUAUAAGUCUUUUAAGAUCCACAAUCUCCAUACGAAUGAGGUUAUGACAGAAAUUAAGGUUCCUAGAAAAAAAAAAUAGUUGCCAAGAAUAGUUGAUAUGAUAAGAUUUAUAACUAUGAAAACUAUGUAAAGACUUGAAAAUUGUGAAUACAAAAGGUGAUGCUCCACAACAAAUCUUCUUAAAAAUGAAUUCUCACUUACAAAGAAUAGUUGUUAGAUAUAUGACACAUGUUUUACUACAUGAUUUAGGAUACAAUCCUCUACAAAUGAACAAAAUAUUUAUUAAAUCAAAGGCAUGAAUUAGUAUGUUAAGGAAAUGAAUGUAAGCUUGCUCAAGGAAAUGUCUAUGAAGUGUUGUAGUUGAACAAGAAGUUAAAAAAAUGUAAUAUGUUAACCUACCAAUUUUACUCUAGAGGUUAAGGCUAGCAGAUAUUAGGGGAAUAGUAUCUAGGCAAAUAGUAUAUACUAGGUAAACACUCCUUGAUAUAGGUGGCCUCGUAUGGUCAAUAAUAUAUACUAGGUAAACACUAACUAAUAUACAUGGCCUCGUAUGGUCAUACCCAUCUGUGGAGAGGCAAUUCUAGUUAAGCAAAACUCUCAUACCAUGUUAACUAAAUAAUUUGACCCAAAAUGACUAGACUAUUAAGAAAUGGGUUAACAUUCUAUACUAGACUAAUACUAUCUAGUGGAACAAUACAUCUUUCAUUGUUGUAUCGAAACAUGUUCUUGAUUGCUAUGUUGUUAACCUACCAAUUUUACUCCAAAGGUUAAGGUGACAAAUAAUAGGGGAAUAGUAUCUAGGCAAAUAGUAUAUACUAGGUAAACACUCCCUGAUAUGUGUGGCCUCAUAUGAUCAAUAAUAUAUACUAGGUAAACACUCAUUGAUAUGUGUGGCCUCGUAUGGUCAUACCCAUAUGUAAAGAGGCAAUUCUAGUUAAUCAGAACUCUUAUACUAUAUUAAUUAAAUAAUUUACCCAAAAUGACUAGAUUGUUAAGCAAUGAGUUAACAUUCUAUAUUGUACUAAUAAUAUCUAGUAAAAGAGUACAUCUUUCAUUUUUGUAUCAAAAUAUGUUGUUGAGUGCUAUGGAUUGGAAAUCUCUUGAACUUAGUUUUGUUGAACUACCAACUUUACUUACCUAAAAGCCUCUUAACACCCCUCACAUUCCACCUCAUAUCCGCAUAUGGAGAGACAUAGAAAGAUAGAAGAGAAUAUCCACACAUGGAGAUACAUAGAAAGAUAGAGGAGAGAGAGAUAAACAAAUGCAAAUAACCAUUUUUGGAUUUACAAACAUGCAAAUUGUAGAGAGGUGACUCAAACACAUAGCCUUCACUCAAAUCAAAAUUUACUAUCAGGUUGAACUACCAACUUUCUUAAAAGUUUAAACUUGCAAGAUUUGGAUUCAUUAUGUAUAUCAGAACUUGUUUUUAAAUGGACUAAAAUUGAGAUUGAUUGUGGGAUUGUAAUAAUGAUUUAUUUGAUAAUUAGGAAAUAAAACCUCAUGCAUCAAGGUAGAAAGUCCACCCUUUUUUUGGUUUGGUCUCAUUUGUGAGACAACUAAUUUAUAUACUUCAUGUUAUACUUGGUAUAUUUAUUGGAAAGUUUCUUAAAUUUAUAUUUCAAGUAUAUUUUUUAAAAAGAAUAUUAUAAAUAAUAUUUAUAUAUAUUAGUGUUUCCUUUGACAAAAAAAAUAUUAUGCAUAAUAUUUAAUAUAUUAAUAUUUUCUUGUAAAAAAAUUAUUUUUUUACUUUAUAAGGAAAGUUUUCAAAAAAAUUAUAAGAAUUAAGAUGAAUUUGAUGAAGAGUACUAAAUGUGAGAGGUAAAGAUGUAACGAAGAGUAGGAGAGACAUGAUGGAACAAGGCUCCUAUUCAUGCUGUUUUACAAGUGGGGAAAAAUUAAUAGACAUUGGAAGGUCUCAUCUAGCGGGAGCUCGAAGGAUUUACAAGCAAAACCUAACAUAGAUACCAUAAAUAUCAAGGUAGGAUGUUAUGAUGAAAUAAGAGAAUUAACAUCGUACGAUGCCAGCCCCUCGUCCCCUUGUAAAUAAACUCUGUGAUGAAAUACAUGAUCCUGUCAGAGUUGGAUUUAAUGAAUUAUGAGGUACACCAUGGUCUUUUGACCCUUAGAGCAUCUCUUACAACAGUGAUAAAAUAACAACAUCAAAAUUAUUUUAAUUUUUUUAAUAUAAAUGAUAAAAUAACAACGUCAAAUUGUAGUACAUUACUUCGAUGUAUAAUGCUAAAGAUGAAAUGUCAACGGAAAUUGGCAUCCAUCCCAAUGGUGCUGUUAGAUUAGAUCCUGGACUUAUUUUGAAAAAACCUUUGCAAUUCUUAGUAUUUGGAGUGCCUGAUAUUGGUGAAAUUUCGAGAGAAAAUGGGACCAAUACAUUACUAGGAGGAGACAUAUCAAAAGGCACAUUAAAUCUCAGCUGUGAGGACUUCAAGGUAUAAUAUUUUAUGGGUUAGUGUAAUUACAUAAAGAUAAAGUCAUCACACACAAACAUGAGAAUUUAACAUAACCAAUCAGAAAGAAAAUUAGUUCUCCUAAUUUGAUUUCCAAUAGACUUUUAUAACCUUAUAAACGUUAUAAAAUGAAACAAAAAAAUAUUAUUCAUAUAUUUUUUGUCUCAAAUUAUUAAUAUUCAAAGCCCUUCUAAAAAUGUAAUAAUAAUCAUACACACAAAAAAAAAAAAAUGAUGUCUUUAAAAUAAAUUUCCCUAGCAAUGGAUAUUUCUCAAAAGGACUACUAGAAAUUGCAGUUGCACCAACCAGGCCUCGUGUUGGUCAAAGACAUCUAGUAGGAAUUAAAAUAAUGUUUUCAAGGAGUGCUUCCAAAAAACAUCUUGAGAGGAUAUUUCUAGAAAUUUUAAAAUAAUGUUUUUCAUGCACUCUGAUGAAUGAAAAUAAUAAAAGUGAAUGUCAGAGCAAAAUUUUUGGAAAAGUAAUUUUCAUUUUAGAUAUCAAACACUAUAAUAUAUUAAAUUGAGGAUUGUCAUACGUCUCAAUGAGGGAGGCUCUUUGUUGAAGUUAUCCAAUAACAAAUACGGAAAGCUUUAAUCAUGAAAUUCUAAGACACUCUAGUUUGAAGUCAAUUCACGUGAGCAUGCUCCUAGACUUUGCAUCCGAAUCAACGAACAAGAUAUUUUAUUACCACGGCACUGUGAGUCUAUUCACAUGAUUAAUAGAUAUCUUGCUCUCUCAUGUCUCAACCUUCCACUCCAUUCAACCAAGUUGGCAGUACAGUACAUGUAUAUAAACUUGUGCAUGUCCAUGGAAAUCAUGUAUAAAUUACUAGCAAUAAACUAGAGAAAAUAAUUCAGGCCACUUCUUCACAAAGACAGAAGUGAGUACAAAAUAGUUAGACAUGGAUUUCAUUCUUUUUCUUCAGAAAACAGUAGUGACCAUGAUAAGUACUUGACAUGUUCUGUGAAAUGAUUGGGUUGCUUUCUGAUUCACCAGGGAUUUGUUAAUAACUGUUACAUUAUUAAUGGGGGGUUAACAGACAUUAGACAAUUAUUCAUAACUAGAAAAUGCAUAUAAAAGAGAAAAUAUACAUCACCACUCUUCUCCUGAAACAUGUCUGAUAGAAAACAAUCAAGAAAUUCUGAACUAGAAGGCUACAUAUAACAUUUUUCAAUGUUAGAUACUUGUUCUAUUCUUCUCAUAUAUGUUAAAAUUUCUUUACUUAAUUAUGUGUACUGAAUUGGCUUAGUGUUGAUACACCAAUUAGAUCAAACCCUUAAAACUUUAUCCAAAAAGAAAAAAAAUUGAAGAAGAAAAAUGGUCCCUAGGAUCCUACCAAAGGAAGGUGCCCAACUCCUGCAUUCUUU
This 56990-nucleotide long non-coding RNA is filed under the name Vitis vinifera (wine grape). RNAcentral describes it as "long non-coding RNA (VVIN_LNC004794)". Lineage: Eukaryota; Viridiplantae; Streptophyta; Magnoliopsida; Vitales; Vitaceae. The record is from RNAcentral.